RNAcentral lists this long non-coding RNA (58390 nucleotides) under Capsicum annuum. Its description in RNAcentral is "long non-coding RNA (CANN_LNC015687)". Lineage: Eukaryota; Viridiplantae; Streptophyta; Magnoliopsida; Solanales; Solanaceae. The record is from RNAcentral.
UCAUGAAAAGUCUUAGAAAUACCUGCUUGAUCUUUGUGAAUCAACCAUACAGGAGCAUUAGAUAAUAAGGGCAAUCCUAUGGGUAUGUAUGCUAUGUUUCCAACUUCAUUUGAGAGAGUGAGAGUCUUAGUUUUAUCCACAAGUUAAAUGAUUAGAGUGCAGUGGAUUUCUUUGACUGUGAGGGCAAUUUGAGUUAUACUUAGUUGCUAAUUUUACUCAGAUAUUGUGUCUUUGGUUAUGUAUAUGCUGAAUUAUAAAUAAUGCCAAGUAUGGAUCCUGGUGUGUUGAGACCACAUGAGUAAGAUGAUAGUUGAAUGAUUGUAAGGAGUCUAGUUCAAUGGUUAAAUGCUUAUCAUUGUGUUGUUCAUGUAUGCGAUUUGGUGUUGAGUUGCUUGAGGACAAGCAAUUGUUUAAGUUGAGGGUGUUGAUGUUCUGUCUUUUGAUGGAAUAUUUUAUAUCUUAUACAAGGGAUAAUUGUGCAUUUUCAAGUGACUAUUGUUUUAUUAGAUACUUAGAUUUUAGUGUUUUUAGGGCAAGGACUUAGAUGGAGAGAGAACUUGGAAAAGCAGCAGAAAAGGGCGUUGAUGGUCAAAUUGAUGAAUCGUCAACCAGGUGAUGGACCAUCAGGGAGCUCAUCAGUAAUAAGCAGAAGCUUUAGAGUUACAGACCCUUGUGAUGGUCCAGUUUACAGACCGUCAGUCCCAUGAUAGGCCGUCAACCUGAUCGUCAGAUUAGAAACAGAAAUCAUCAUACUGAGGAAUGAAGCGACGGUCCAGGUAAUGGACCGUCAGUCCCUUGAUAGGCCAUCAGCCUAGCCAUCAGAGCUAAAAAAGAAUACAACAUCACUGGACGUGUUGCGAUGAACCCAGGAAUAGACCGUCAGGGACUUGACGUGCCGUCGACUCAUCCGUCAACCUUGAUGCGGUAAUCUAAGUUUUGAAUUUUAAAACCCUAAUCCCUGGAAGCACAUAAAUACCCAGUUUAUGUUUUAUUUUAGGUAUCUUUAUCAUAAUUUCAUCUUUUGAAACUCAUUGUAACAUCGUAUUCUCUGAGACUGAAGCUACUAUUGUGGAUCUAGCCAUUUUAUUCAUAUUCUCACUAAAGAUUCAAGAAUAUUAUUGGAACUUUUUUAAGUAAUUCUAUGAAUUUAUUUAUGAAUAACACAAUAACUAUUUCAUCUUCUCUUGAUAUGUGUGGCUAAGCUCCCAUAACUAGGGUUAUGGGAUCCUUGAGGUGAAUAGCUGAUUGGGGUUGUGAAAAUACUCAGUUUCCAUACUUGAUUGAGAUUGUAUAAGCCCUUCUUCAUACUAACGACCUUCCUUGGUUGCAAACUCGAAGGGUGAGCCCGAGAACAUCAUUUGUUUGAGUAGAAAAUUGCAGGUUGGGAAAAGAAGAGGUUUACAUAGAAUCUAAAGGCUUUAACCUUUAGGUUAUAGGUUGAUGCCUUAACGGGAUUAACCCACAUGAGAGAUUAAUUGAAUGAUCCAAUGUAUUCUUCAAGUUUGAAAGAAUUGAAGGAUAAACUACCCAUUUAGGUUGAGAAACAAUUGAGUAAAAUUUUAAAUUCAAUAAAUUUUACAAUCAAAUUCAUAAAUUGGAAACUUAAGAUAAAUCACAACCCCGGCUGCUUGAACUUUUUGGUGAACAUAACUGUAGUUUGUAUACUCUCAUUAACUUAUCACUUGCAAUAAAACUCACUAGUUGGAACACUAUUUGUUGUAAACAUUUGAAUACUGUUACUUUGUUAAAAAUCCCUUUAAUCUGGAACCUUCGAUCAACAAUAUGUUAAAGACCAUAACACUUAGUUUGUAUAGUAUUCCCUGUGGGAUUCGACCCCAACCUAGUUGGGUUCUAUAUUUGACAGUGACCGCUUACACUUUCUAAUGAGAUUUGUAAUUUAAGCGUAUCAACCCGCCUGAAAUGUGAUAGACCAAUUGAUUUCAAAUAUAAAAAUCUUUACAGAAAGAGAGGAGCAAAUGAUCAAGAUGGUUUUGAUAAUGAGGCAAGUGCUUUAAAAAAACACUAUGACAUAACACUUCAUAAAACCUUGGCAAAUGUUCUGGUACUGAAAAAUGAUAAAAUAAAGAGAUUUUGAUAAGUUAUGUUUGACUAGAAUUGAUAUCAAAUAACCAUCAAUAGUGUUUUUGAUAUAAUAUAGCACUCACUAGUAUACAUGGUAAUGAGCAUCUUGAAUUUAAAGCUGUCAAAUAGUGUGGACAGAUAAAAUACGCAAUUCAAAUAUAUUAUGUUUCACUUGAAAAGUGAUAUUUUGAAAUUAAUCCAUAGACUAAGGUAAAAUACCAGUGGGAUACAAAUCGGUAAUUGUGUAAAAAGUAAAAACGUAAGAUAUAAAAUACGACUUGUGCCUUGAGGCAUAAAGGGUAUUCGUAAAGUCCUGACAUUAUUGUUUGGAGAUGUGUUCUCCUAUGGUGGAUACAAUAUGGUUUCUGUAAAUUUGGUAAUGUAUUAAAAUCUUGAAUGCAUAUAACGAAUGAUUUUUAUGUCUAGCUAGACGACAAAUGUUAUAGAAAAAUCCUUAAAGGAUUUAAAAGAGAUUCUAUCCAUUGAAUAUUACAAUGGUUGCGAGAUCUCUUAAAAUAAAGGAAGAUCAAUUUUCAUCUCAUGAAAAUGGUUAGAAAAUACCAUGUACUAGUCCAAUUAUUGCACUUAUGUAUCCUGUUAUUCUAUACAUGAGAUAAUAGUUUUUAUUAAUGUGCAAAAAAGAUAUAAAUUUCAUUUUUAUGUGAAUGUGAGUGAAAUCAAAUAUUAUUGAUCUGAAAUUAUUAUUUCUAACAAAUAUUGUCAAAGGUUUGCUGGUUAUGCAAAUGCAGGAAGAAUAUUCGAUCUACGAUCAAUUUUAAUAUCAUGCAAAUAAAGUUUCCACAGCUAAUUGAUUGUUGUUACGAACAAGCUCAAUGUGCAAAUGACUUGCGACAAUAAGGUCACAUAUAAAGUGAUUUUUAAGAAUUUAUAUGACUGAGUUCAUGGGUUUAUUAUAUUGAAGAAACAAAAAAACAACACAUCAGGACGAUUUCAAGAAUGCAACAUCUUCAUGAAUGUGAUUUGAUCAUAACAAAACAAUCAAUAUCAAUAUAUGAAAGCAGACAUCUAAGAUUGGAGGUGUUGUCUUUGAGAAGUGAAAUGAUGUUUGCAUCAGGGGGAAUGAAAUACGCGUUGCACUCUUUUUUUCUUGGCCUAGGUUUGUCCCAAUGUGUUUUCCUAGAAAGAUUUUUAAUGAGGCAGCAAACAAACGCGUAUGAUAAGAUAUGUGUACUCUUUUUCUUUCACUAGAUAUUUUUUUCCCAUAGGAAUUUUUUUUAGUAAGGUUUUAACGUGACACAUCAUCUGUGGACAUCCAAGGGGGAGUGUUAUAAAACUAAUAAGUGUGGAUGUCCACUACACUUCCACUAGUUUUCUCAAUUAUUCCCCUCUAUUAUGAAGAUAACCUCCAUCAUCCAUGACCAUUAUUCUGUGACCUUACACAUAUAUAACCUACCUCAUUAUGUUAAUGGUUAAUGUCAUGUUUGACAACCUUUUGCAUGCCUUUAAAUGACAAUAUAAAUAGAGGCAUAAGGUUCAUUGUAUAUACUUGAAAGACUUAUACACUUGAUACUUGGAAGAAUGAAAAGAUCUCAUCUGUGAUCUUGUAUUCUUAUGCCUACUUCUUCUUUUAUAUUGCCACUCUUUUAGAUUAAGUUUAACAGGUUUCACAUAUUUUGUUGUUGUAUGUGCUAAUAAAUUGUGUAUUUGCUGUAUUUAUUGUUCUUGUUGUGGUGUGUGCUUUUAAAUAGGUAUUAUUGGUGAGAAAAAUAUGUUCUUGUUACUGUACUCAGGGCCGGCUCAACGGAAUUCGUGGACUAGAGCCAGCUUUAAAAAGAAUGCCUUAAAUUUAAUUGAUAAAAUUAUAAGUAUUUUUAUUUGAUUUCUUUUCUUUUUAUUUUAUAGUGAUGGUGUACAUGUCAUCUUGUACGUAUAUUGACUAUUUAUGUGACUAAAUGUUAGUAUUUAUUAUAUAGUUUUUGAACUAGAUGUUAGUUUUUGAACGUUUAGGUUUUAAAAUAUUGUAUUGAUCUAAUCUUAUUUAGCUUACAAAAUUAGGCAAAUUAAUUGUUAGUUAGUAUUUAUUAUAUAGUUUUUGAACUAGAUGUUAGUUUUUGAACGUUUAGGUUUUAAAAUAUUGUAUUGAUCUAAUCUUAUUUAGCUUAAAAAAUUAGGCAAAUUAAUUGCCAGAGCAAAAAAACACAUGAAUUGAAACGGAAGAAAUAUUUAUUUGAAUAAUAUCUAAUUAUGUCUAAAUAAACUCUGUAAAAUACCAAAAGACAAGCAUAAAUCUUGUUCUUUUUAAGAAAUAAUGAUACUAAUUCUAUAAUAUAUAUUCUAUAGUAUUAAAUAUUAAUGAAAAUAUGGGGACUUUUAUUUGGAGGCCUAAAGUCAUAGAUUUAGUUGCUUCCCCUUAAGUCGGCAUUGAUUGUACUUAUUGUCGUCAUGAUGUAAUAAAAUAGAGGUCUCCAUUCUAUUUGAUGUUUUCUAAUAGCUAAGGUGGUUGUAGCAACCGUAAAACUUAUUUGAAUAAAUCAAACAGUUGCUAACAUUGUAGUAGUAAAUUGUUGCAGCAACCUCAGCGGUUGUAUAAUAAAGUUGAAGUAGUUGAAUAACAAUCAAGUAAUUGCUAAGGUUUUCGGAACAUGUCUAUUGAAUUUCUAUGACAACGACUCACCUAUUGGAAAAAUUUCCAAUUAUUGAGGUUGUUACAACAAGUUUGUUGAAGUGCUGCAAUAAGACACUCAAUUGUUGAAAAAAUCAAUAGUUGUUGAGCUAGUCACAACAAGUCAUUGAAUUAAUAUAACAAGUUGAAAAGAUCUAAGCUGUUAUGAGGGAUUUGAAGCCAACUGUGAAGCUUAUCAACCUCUCUAGCUUUUCAUGAACUUGCAUCGUAAACUUUAUUUAAUGAUUUUCUUAAAAAAAAUUAGUUUUUUUAUUAUUCUAAUCCUCUGUCACAUUAUUUUGUUAUAGUCUUGAAUAUUUGAAGCUAUUACUCACUUUAGCAUCAAGUUAAGGUGUUCUGAUAAAAAGUGUUAUCUCUAUUAUUCUUCAUAGCUGUUCUGAGAAAAAGUGUUAUCUCUAUUAUUUUUAAAUGGCUGGCUAUGAAGAACAACAAAGUUGUUAUUGUUGUCGAUCUAUUUAAACUCCUUAAAGAUUUCGUAAGCCUCAUUCUACAUUUAUUACCCUUGAAAUUUAUCGUGACAGACAAGUCAGAUUACUUGUUUGAAUCUGUUGUCUCAACAACUUUGAACUUGUUGCAACAACUUUUAAACUUGUUGAAUAUUAUUCAUCAAAUUGAUUAGUUGUAUAACAGAUUUAAAGUUUUUUGCAGUAGUGAUUUGUGUUUAAUUAAUUUUAAAAAUCAAUGGAUUCUGUAUUUGGAUUCAGAAUUGUCUCAAAAAAAUUACACAUCAUGUUGGAAAUAAAUUAACUUUCAAUAAGCAGUUACUGAUACAUCAAUAAAAUUUUAUGAACCAACGGGUUCUUAUUAAAAGUUAAAAUAUUUUAAAUAUAAUUAAUUCGAUGAAUGUUCAAAUUGUCCUUGGUAGCAUUGAGUGUCAAAAUAAUUCAGGCGGCUACUAUUUUAUGUUGUCACAAUUUUUUUCUAAAAUUAAUUUAUUGAAAUAAGAUCUGAAGCUAUUGUAACUAAUUCUAUAUUUAUAUAUUCUUGUAAUUUAUUGUGACAGAAAAGUCAAUUUACUUAUUUGAAUUUGCUUCUCCAAUAGGCUUAAAUUUGUACAACAAAUUUCAUGCUUGUUAGCAAUUAUUCAGUAAAUUAGUUAGUUGUUGCAACAAUUCAUAGUUACUACAGUGGUGACUUGUAUUUAAUCAGUUUUAGAAGUCACUUGAACUUGUCUUUCGCAUUCAGAAAUGUCCCAAGGACAAAUUGCACAUUGUAGAUAGUUGUUGAUUUAUUAACAAAAUCUGAUGACUCAGCAACUACUUAUUAAAGUUGAUUCAUUUCAAAUAUUGUUGAUCAGUCAAAAUCAAAAGACCACACUGAAUGCAAAAGACAAUUCAAGUGGCUACUAUUUCAAGUUCUCACAAGUUCUUCCUAGAAUUAGUUUCUAGGAAGAACUUGCGAGAUCUGAACUUGUUGCAACUAAUUCUACAUAUAUAAGUUGAUUGAGAACCUAAAGGAGAGAAAGAGAAAAACAAACAUGAAAAAGAAGAGAAAAAAUCUGAGAAAUAGUAGUGAUAUUUAUUCAUACAACAUACAGCAAAAUAUAUAAUACAAGUGGUCUGAAAUAUCCCUCAAAACCUGAGAACAUGUCUCCUUAAGUUGUGCUGAAAUAAAGCACAACCACACACUAUAAAGCUUCUAAAAAUCUAGUAACUUACAGAAAAAAUAAUCUACAGAGAUAGCAAAAUAUCAAGACUAGAAAACUAAGUUGUAGUUAGCAUCACUGGAAAAAUAGCAUCCUUCAUCACUCCUCCUUGAUACAAGUGUUAUUGGUUACUCUAAGAUUAGCUCUAAGAAGGUCAAAUCUCUGUUUCUAUAAUGCUUUUGUAAAAAUAUCAGCUAGCUGAUCUUCACUACAGCAAUGUAGAAUCUGAUCUUGAUUCUCCCUUUUAGCUUCUCUAAUGGAAUGAUAUUUGAUUUUAAUGUGCUUAGUCUUUCCAUGAAAGACUGUAUUCUUUACCAUAGCAACUACAAACUUGUUAUCACAAAGGACUUCUAUUUCUUUGCUUGUUUAAAAUGCCAAGUCACUUAAGAUUUUUCUCAAUCAUAAAGCUUGAUUAACAUUCUUUGAGGCAGAAAUGUACUCUGCUUCAGCAGUUGAUUGAGCCACAUACCCCUGCUUCUUUGUGGACCAACAAAUAACACUUGAUACUAGAGUGAAACAAUAUUCGAAAGUUCUUUUCAUGUCAUCUUGUGACCCAGCCUAGUCACUAUCAGUGAACCCCAACAAUUUCUUAGUUGUGGCUCUUUUAUAAAACAAACAAUAAUCAAUGGUGCCCCGAAUGUACCUUAAAAUUCUUUUUGCUGCUUUGAGGUGAAUUUCAGUUGAUGAAUUCAUAAACCUUGACAACACACUUGUUAGUACAUAAUAUCAGGCCUCGUGGUAAAUAGGUACAAUAGAGAACCAAGUAAACUUCUAAAAAAUAAAGCAUCAACCAAACAAGAUUUAUCCUUUUCGUUAGUUUCUCUCCUUGAACUACAGGCGUACUUACUAGUUUGCAUUUGUCAAGGCAAAACUUCUUUAAUAUUUCGGUAGUAUAUUUUUUUUGAGCAAUAAAAAUUCCUUGAGAAGAUUGACUAACCUCCAUUCCCAAGAAAUAAGUCAUCUUUCCUGGAUCAUUCAUUUCAAAAACCUUCUUUAUUUACUCUUUAAAGUCUAUGAUAGACUUUGUGUUGCUUCCAAUCACCAAUAGAUCAUCAGCAUAGAGGGAAACUAUGAGAAAGUCAUCAGUUUGUAGUUUGAUAUACAAGGUUUCUUCAUUGCAGCUUCUAUUGAACCGCAAAUUCAGUAAGUAACUAUCAAUUCGUGCAUACCAGGCCUUAGGUGCCUACUUCAAGACAUAAAGUGAUUUUCUUAACAAGUAUACCUAAUCGCCAGAUCCUCUAAAACCUUCAGGCUUCUCUACAUAAAUUUUCUCUUUAAGAAACCCAUUAAGAAAAAUGGACUUUACGUUGAGUUGAAAUACUUGCCACCCUUGGUGUGCUGCAACUGCGAGAAGUAAUCUGGUGGUAUCAAACCUUGCAACUAGUGCAAAGGUUUCAAUAAAAUCAAUACUAUGUUGUUGGGCGUAAACUUUUACUAUUUGCCUCGCUUUGUACUUGUUGAGUGUGCCAUCCGAGUUCAAGUUAGUCUUGAACACCCAUCUAGUUCAAAGAACCUACCUACCAUGGGGUCUAGGUACAAGUACCCAUAUAUCAUUCUUGUUAAUUACAUUGAGAUCCUCCUCCAUGGUAACCCUUCAUUCUGGAAUUUGCAAUGCAUUGUCUACACUUGUUGGCUCCAAUAUAGCAAUAUUGUAUCUGCUAUAUAUAUCUUUAAUUGAUCUAGUACUUCUUACCAUGAAAUAAUCAAAAUCUUUUCCAUCUGGAAUUGACUCUUCUUCUUGGACACUUUGUUCUUAAUUAGUGAUCUGUAAAGAAGAAACAACAAUCUUCUUCCAGUCCCACAAUGCAUUCUCAUCAAACUUAACGUUUUUACUCAAAUGUAUUUGUUGUGAAAUAGGAUUUAAAAUCCUAUAGCCUUUCAAAGUGUUGUUAUAGCCCACAAAUAUUCCAACAUCGGCUUUUUGAUCAAGUUUAUCCCUUUUAACUUCGGGAAUAUAAAAGUAACAUAUGUAACCGAACACUUUAAGAUAUGUGACUGAUGGCUUGGACCCAAUCCAUGCUUCAUAUGGUGUCUUUCUUUCAAUGGCUCUUGUCAACAAUCUAUUCUGAAGAUAGACAGUGGUAUUGACAGCUUCGGCCCAUAACACCUUAGGAAACCCUUUCUAAAAUAGAAGACACCUAGCCAUAUUCAUAAUGGACCUAUCUUUUCUUUUACUUACACCAUUUUUCUAUGGUGUUUAAGUAACAGUAAAUUGAUGAUGAUUCCUGCUUUCUGAAAAAAAAUCCUUAAACCGAUUGGAAGUAAACUCAGUCCCAUUAUCAGACCUUAAGAUCUUUAUCCAAGAGCCACACUAAUUUUCAACAGUUGCUUUAAACUUUUGAAAUGCGGCAAACACUUCAGAUUUAUGCUUUAAAAAAUAAACCCAACAAAACCUUGUAAGGUCAUCAAUGAAUAAAAGAAAGUAUUAGCUACCAUUAUAAGAAAGAAUGCUCAUAGGUCCAUACACAUCAGUGUGUAUUAGUUGGAGCUUUUUAGUAGCUCGCCAGGCUUAAUUCAUAGGAAAUGGUGAUUGACUUAGCUUCCCAAUUUGACACACUCCACAUAUAUUAGAGUUUUCAUUUAUGGAAGGAAAAUCUAUCACAAGUUCCUUAUUUUGCAUUAUUUUUAAAGACUUAAAAUUGAUAUGGCCAAGCCUUUUAUGCCAGACAUAACUGUUAUCUUGUAUACCGACAUAAACUCUAAUCUCAGUAUGUUUCCAAUCAAGAGGAAAGCUUCUAUUGAGCAUUUUGACCAUAAGCAAUUUUAUACCAGUUGGAUCCAUGAUUUCACAUGCUUUAUCUUUAAAUAACAGGGCAUAAUUGUUCUCAAGAAACGAACCAACACUUAGAAGUCUUUGUCUAAUUUCAGGAAUAAAUAAUACAUCAGAGAUAAGCAUUAUACCUGAUGGAGUUUGAACAGUAACUGCUCCUUUGCCUUUUGUAUCUAAGAGUCUGCCAUCUCCAACUCUAACCUUGGAAAAAUAGUUUUUGUCCAAACGUUCAAAGUUAUUCAAGUUAGCUGUCAUAUGAUGUGUACAUCCACUAUCAACAAGCCACACAUCAUGAUCUUAAGAUGCUAUAUUGCAUUUUCUGAUAAUAGAAGCUGCAAACAACUUCUCUUCAUGAUCUUCAGCAUUUUUAGCAACUUGAGUUGUCUGCAAUUGAGCUGGUUGGGCUUGAUUUGUUUUGCAGACCUUAUCCACAUGACCAAAUUGUUUGCAUACCUUACAUUGAACUCCAGGUCUGUACCAACAAAACUUCUCCGUAUGAUUGAUCUUCUAACAAUAAGGACAAGGUGGAUACUUCGAUAUUCUCUCUCUCUUUUUGUUGUUACAUUGUUCCUUCUUCUCCUUCCCAUGUAUUCUAUUUAAUUGCCCUUUUAAUUCACUAUCAGACUUAGACUUUUGAGCUGCCAAAAGAGCAACUUCAUUUGAACUCUCUUUCUCGCUAAAAGCUUUUCUUUGCUCCAUAGCUUGAAGAGUGUUGGAUAGUUCAUAUAACGUGACAUGAGACAUAUCCCAAGUAUCUUCUAUUGAGGAGAUUUUUGCUUCGAACUUCUCUGGGAGUGUCACCAUCACCUUCUCAACAAUCCUCUGCUCUUCAACUUUUUCUCCCAAUAAUCGAAUCUGAUUAACAAUUCUCAUGAUCCUAUGAUCCUAUCAAUAUAAUCAUUCACUUUUUCAGUCCCUUUCAUUCUUAACAUCUCAAAUUCUUUUCUUAAAUUUAAUAUUUGCAUUUGUCUUGUCCUAUCACUCCCUUGAAAUUCUUGCUUUAGUAUAUCCCAUGUUUCUUUGGCAGUUUCACAUGCCAUUAUCCUUAUAAAAAUUAAUUUGGAGACGGCUGCGUGAAUGAAAGAUAAAGUUUUUGGACCUUUUGUAAUAUCUUCUUCAUGAUUUCUGAUCUAUUGAAGAUUUGGGUUUGCUCUCAAAGGUUCUGGAGCAUUGUCUUCCUCAACAUACUUCCAUUAACCAAGACCUUUCAAGUAUGUCUUAAUCUUUACAGCCUAAAUUUAGUAAUUCUCACCGUUAACUAUAGGAGGUGAAAGAAAAGAGUUGAUGUAUGUCAUGUCAAAAAGAGAACUAGACAAAAAGAGAAUUGAACAAUUUAAGCUUGUUGGGUGAUCUUUGCUGUGUUUUUUCUCAUAAAAUAGUCCUUUAAAGAUCAAUCUUGCUCUGAUGCUAAUUGAAGAAGAGAAAGAGAAAAACAGACAUGAAAAAAACAAAAAAUCUAAGAAGUGGCAGUGAUAUUUAUUCAUACAACAUAUAGAAAAAUAUAUAAUACAAGUGGUCUGAAAUAUCGCUCAAAACCUAGGAACAUGUCUCCUUAAGUUGUGCUAAAAUAAAGCACAACCACACACUAUAAAGCUUCUAAAAAUCUAGUAACUUACAGCAAAAACAAUCUACAGAGACAACAAAAUAUCAAGACUAGAAAACUAAGCUGCAGUUAGCAUCACUAGAAAAACAACAUCCUUCAUCACUCCUCCUCGAUGCAAGUUUUACUGGUUACUCUAAGCUUAGCUCUAAGAAGCUCAAAUCUCUGUUUCUAUAAUGCUUUUGUAAAAAUAUCAUCUAGCUGAUCUUCACCACAGCAAUGCAGAAUCUGAACUUGAUUUUUCCCUUUUAGCUUCUCUAAUGGAAUGAUAUUUUAUUUUAAUGUGUUUAGUCUUUCCAUGAAAGACUGGAUUCUUCACCAUAGCAACUACAAACUUGUUAUCACAAAGGACUUCUGUUACUUUUCUUGGUUGAAAUACCAAGUCACUCAAGAUUUUUCUCAACCAUAAAGCUUGAUUAACAGCCCCUGAGGCAGCAAUGUACUCUGCUUCAGCAGUUGAUUGAGCCACAUACCCCUGCUUCUUUAUGCACCAACAAGUAACACCUGAUACUAGAGUGAAACAAUAUUCAAAAGUUUUUUUCAUGUCAUCUUGUGACCCAACCCAGUCACUAUCAGUGAACCCCAAAAAUUUCUUAGUUGUGGUUCUUUUAAAGAACAGACCAUAAUCAAUGGUGCCCCGAAUGUAUCUUAAAAUUCUUUUUGCUGCUUUGAGGUGAAUUUCAGUUGGUGAAUGCAUAAACCUUGACAACACAUUUGUUAAUACAUAAUAUCAGUUCUCGUGGCAGAUAGCUACAAUAAAAACUAAGUAAACUUCUAAAAAAUAAAGCAUCAACCAAACAAGAUUCAUCUUUUUCGUUAGUUUCUCUCCUUGAACUACAGGUGUACUUACUGGUUUGCAUUUGUCAAGGCAAAACUUCUUUAAUAUUUUAGCAGCAUAUUUUUUAUGAGCAAUAAAAAUUCCUUGAGAAGAUUGACUAACCUCCAUUCCCAAGAAAUUAAUCAUCUUUCCUGGAUCAUUUAUUUAAAAAACCUUCUUCAUUUGCUCUUUAAAGUCUAUGAUAGACUUUAUGUUGCUGCCAAUCACCAACAGAUCAUCAACAUAGAGGCAAACUAUGAGAGAGUCAUCAGUUUGUAGUCUGAUAUACAAGGUUUCUUCAUUACAGCUUCUAUUGAACCGCAAAUUCAAUAACUAUCAAUUCGUGCAUACCAGGCCCUAGGUGCCUGCUUCAAGCCAUAAAGCGAUUUUCUUGACAAGUAUACCUAAUCGCCAGAUCCUUUAAAACCUUCAGGCUGCUCUACAUAAAUUUUCUCUUCAAGAAACCCGUUAAGAAAAGCAGACUUUACGUCGAGUUAAAAUACUUGCCACCCUUGGUGUGUUGCAACUACGAGAAGCAAUCUGGUGGUAUCAAACCUUUUAACAAGUGAAAAGGUUUCAAGAAAAUCAAUUCUAUGUUAUUGGGUGUAACCUUUUACGACUAGCCUCACUUUGUACUUGUUGAGUGUGCCAUCCGAGUUCAACUUAGUCUUGAACACCCAUCUAGUUCCAAGAACCUACCUAUUUUGAGGUCUAGGUACAAGUACCCACGUAUCAUUCUUGUUAAUCACAUUGAGAUCCUCCACCAUGGCAACCCUCCAUUUUAGAAUUUGCAAUGCAUUGUCUACACUUGUUGGCUCCAAUAUUGCAACAUUGCAUCUGCUAUAUAUAUCUUUAAUUGAUCUGAUACCUCUUACCGUGAAAUCAUCAGAACCUUCUUCAUCUGGAAUUGAUUCUUCUUCUUGGACACUUUGUUCUUGAUUAGUGAUCUGUAAAGAAGAAACAACCAUCUUCUUCCAGUCCCACAUAGCAUUCUCAUCAAACUAAACGCUUCUACUCAAAUGUAUUUGUUGUGAAAUAGGAUUUAAAAUCCUAUAGCCUUUCGAAGUGCUGCUAUAGCCCACAAAUAUUCCUACAUCGGCUCAUUAAUAAAUGUAAUAAGUUAUGAAAUUUGUUGCAGUAGCUGCUUUUUUAUCAGUUGAUUUUUUUUACCCUUUUAAUAUAUCUACUUUUGAUCUAUAGAUUGUGUUUUUGUGAAAAAUUGAUCGAAGAGACAACCAUCACUAAGUAUUGAUCCGAAAUAGAAAGGGUGAUGAUUCUUCAAAAGUUACUAAUAGAGUUCUGAUGACAAGAAUAAAUGAAAAUGUUGUUGAUAUUGGUGUUGGUGGUGAUGGUAAUUUAUUUUCUUUGAUUGUUGGCAGUGGUGUGGGUGUUGGUGAAGAUGUCGGACACCCUCAAAAAACUAACACAUAUUGGGUAAUAUUCAACCAUUAGUGUUGGUACCUUUAAGGUGUCUUCUUCUUCUUGUGAAUGCAAGAAGUAUAUUUAGACUCUGUAUGUUAAUUACGAAGGUUGAGGCCACAGAGGCAACCGUUAAUAUUUUGAUGUCUAGGAUGAGUAUCAAGUCGGCUUCAAAGAUUAUUGAACUUUAUACUCAUGUUAACUAUGUUUAAGCUCUUACUGUUAGGGAUGCAAAAAAUUUACGCAAAAAAAUCAUAAACUGGUUAAAUAAAAAAUAUAAAUAUUAUCUCCAAUAAAUUCCAAUACUCUGCAUAUCAUUGUUUUUACAUUAGCACUUGAUAAUGAGAACAAAGAUGAUCAUAUAUAAAGUGUUUAGGCAAAUUGGAUAAGCAAAUUUACAACAUGUCAAGAUAAGUUUCAAAACUGACUAUCCUAAUUCCUCAUUUGAUUUCUCUAGAGUACUUUCAUACUUAUAAUAUGUUUUAAAAUAAAACUUUGGAAAACAUUUAUGUUUACAAAUCUACAGCAAAAAAUACAAAUUUCUUUAAAAAAUAACCUGAACACUUCAUAUGAAUAUUGGUUAUUUAAAGAAUCAACUAAAUAACAUUUUAUGCUACUAAAUUUAUUUUAAAUGUCUUAGAGAAAAUAAUUUACCGCUGGAGUAGAAAAAGAAAAGGAAAGACAGGUAUAUGCCAUAAACUUGGAAAAGUGGAAAUUAAGCCCCAAAAUAUAAGAGUUAAUAACUCAAAUGGUCACUCAACUUAUGAUUUUUUUUCUCAGAAAGUCACUCAAAUUUGAUUCAUACUCCAAAAGUCACUCACCUUUGAUUUCUUCUCUCAGAAAGUCACUCAACUUUACUUUUUAAUUCAAAAGUCACUCAAAUAUGAGUGUCUUACUUAUAAAGUCACUCAAGCUAUUUAAUUAAUUUUUUUCCAUUAAAAUUUGCUAACAUGUAAUUUUUAUUAAAAAUAAAAUUUUAAGAAAUAAAAAAUAAUAAUUUAAACAAUCAAUUUAAUGACCCCUCUCCCCCCCGAAUUUUGAUUUUACUACUAUUUUUUGAAAUUUUCUUGUCCAAUAAUUACUCUAUACUCUAAAGUAUAUAUCAAUUAAUAUCCUAAAAUCACAAUCACUUAAUUGUACAAUUUUUGCUGUUAAUGUUACCUCAUUAUAGUGUAUAUAUUAUAAUGUUACUAAUGUUUAAUAACGAUUGCUAAUGUUUUAUAUCAUAUUAUUUUAGUUUAAAAUCUAUGACGUUCCCUUUUGUCAACUUUUUAGGAAUAAAAUCCAUUGUGUUUAUUUGAUGCAUUUGUAUAUUAUACAAGUGAUAGUAAAAAAAUUACAUUAUGAUUGAAAAAUUAAUUCCAUAAAUAAGUAUCACGUUGAAAGUUAAUUAAAUCCAAUCAUCUAAAUUAAUAUGAUUCUAAAAAUCUUAAAAAUUAGUAUUAACAUUAUAAGUGAAUUGAUAUAAACUAUUUAUGAUAUUUUAAAAUUUCAACUGGCUAUAAAGUAAACAUGAGAAUAUGUAAUAAUAUGGUUCAAUGAUUUUUUAGUUUUUUAGAAUUUUGACUUUAAAUAAAAUCUCAUCUUAGAAAAUUUUAAUUAAUAGUUAAUUAAAUAAAUAGGUUGAGUGAGUUUGUAAGUAAAAUAUUUAUAGUUAAGUGACUUUUAGGGGUCGUUUGGUAGAGUGUAUAAGAAUAAUGCAAAAUAUGGUGUAUUAAUAAUGUUUGUAUUAAUAAUGCUUGUGUCAGUUAUACUUUGCAUUAAUUAUACUUGUAUUCUUUUUAUGCUGUGUUUGGUUUAAUGUAUUGAAAAUUAUAUGUUUUAUAUAAUUUUUAUAAAAAAACAAAUAUUUGACAAAAAUACCCUCUCCUCUUUCUUUCUAAUAAAACACAGACCAACAAAUUCAGCACUGUGUAUAUUCUUCUUCCUUCUCCCCUCUUCACUGUUUUCUACCAUGCGUAUGUAUUUUUGUAUGUAUAUAUUUUUCCUCUCGUGUACUUUUCACUGUUCUCUGUCUAUGGGUCUCUAUAUUUUUUUUCGUUUCUUUUGUUUCUACUCUGUAUCAGAUUUUGUGUGUGUAAAAUUUCUUAUCCAUUCUUUACCGGAAAUGAAAUCCUGGGCAAUGAAAAUCAAAAAAAAAAAAAUUAAUGAACAAAUAUAAAAAAAGAUUCAAAAGAUAAGCUGAAAACCGGCGAAUUGUUCGCUGGCAAUUUUUUUUGGAAAAAUAAGAAAUAUUAAACCGAAAAAAAACUUUAGCAAAUUAUGAUAUUCAAUUUCCUUUGUCAUAAAAGAUUCAAAAGACAAUCUAUUUUGCAAUAAUUUUAUACUAUUAUUUACAAAAAAAACUAAUUUCCAAUGAAAUGAGUAUAUGAAACAAGAACGAAAUGGAAUUGGAAAAUAAUUGAGGGGUAAAUUAGUCAUUUAAUAAAUUAGUGCAUGUUGUGAAAGCUUUGUAGUAGUAAUACAUAGAAAAAUGCUGGUUUUAGUUAUACAUAGCAUAUACACAAUAGAGUGUAUAAGUAAUGCUUGCAUUAGUUAUACAUAGUUUGAAAAAGUACACCAAACAAGGUAUUGACAAUGCAUAGAGCUAAUGCAUGCAUUGAUUUUUUUAUCAGACUCUACCAAACGACCCCUUAAAGUAGAGAUUAAAGUUGGGUGACUUUCUGAGAGAAUAAUCCUAAGUUGGUGACUUUUAGAGUAAGAAACAAAGUUAAGUGACUUUUUGAGAGAAUAAUCCUAAGUUGAGUGACUUUUGGAGUAAGAAACAAAGUUGAGUGACUUUUUGAGAGAAAAUCACAAGUUGAGUGACCAUUUGAGUUAUUAACUCCAAAAUGUAGUCUAUUUAUUUCAGAAAACAAAUUAUUUUGUUCUAUGCACUUUUUGGGGGCUUUUUGUCCAGACGUGCUUCUGGAAUGUAACACAUAACUAAAAUGUAAAACUUGUUUCUAGCAAUAAAAUAUUUUACUCCAUUUCUGGUGACGUUUCGGUACUGGUAACACAACGGUAUCUAUUGGUAUCGGUAUACCGGUACCCAAUGGUCCAGAAUACAGUACCGGUGCGAACCAUCCAAAAAUUUUUAUAAAUUCGAUUCUGGUACUGGUUGACCAGUUCGGCGACGUGAAGACCGUUACUAUUUUCUUUUUUAUUUUUAAUUUUGGUCAUUUGGAAUUGGACUGGUUGACAGCAACGACUCUUUUGGCGAUUGCAAUUGAGUCGUUGUACCCCUCCCCCCCUCCCAAUUACCCAUCACCACCUCCUUUAAAUUUUCACUAUAAAUAUCCUUUAUUUCUAUUUUUUUCCACACAAAUAUUCUCAAUUCUCAUACUCUCUCUUAAUAUUCUCACACUCUCUCUAAAUAUUUAUAAUUAUUAUAUUAGUUGGAGUUGAAGAUGUUUUGAAGAUAUUACAAGCUUCAAUUAUCAUCUUUUAAUUCUGCCAUUUGGUAUACGUCUUCUUUUACGCAGACGUUCGGUAUAUUCGCUCCAACUUUAAUAUCUUUUUAUUUACUUUAAUAUCUAUAUAUUUAUUUUUUAGUAUCUACAUUUGUUUACUUAUAUUAAUUUUUUAAUUUAUAAUAUUUAUAUUGCUUGUUUUAAUAUUUUAAUUUAAAUUUAAUUUUAAUUAUGAAUUUCAAAAAAUAGUAGCGAUAAAAAUCCAAUCUUUGGUAAGAUUUUUUGUAGAAAUAAAAAAAGUAAGGCUACUACUAGUUCAUUACCGCCUAGACUUAGUGAAAUUUCUUUAUCAUAGCCUAAUGGUUUCGAUGUUGGUAUCAGUAUGAAAUUAGAUCAUGAGACCCUAAGUAGGCGUUAUUAUAAUUUUGAGGAACACUUACCAAAAGAAGAUGCUAUAGAAAAACAAGAGUUAGGUGAUACCCCUACCCUUACUAGUCCGGUUACGGAAUUACCGGAACACGGUGAAGAACUUCCAUCUUUACCAGAAUUUACUAGGUCCAAAGGUACCAAACGUACUAAAAGGUCUUUAGUUUAGAAAUUUAUGGAGCAUGAUAGGGUAAGAAGUACUGCUACUUGCAAUAAAUGCAAGAAUAUUUUUAAACAUUUGAUAGGGGAAAAUGGCGGGACAGGGUUGCUAACUUUGCAUUUGCUGAAAUGUAAUAAAGAAUUUAUUCAUCUAAAAAAUAAGGCUAAGGCAAAAAAAGAUGGUACACCAUUUGUGCAAGAAUUUGUAGGAGGUAAUAUGUGUAACGACCUAAUUUUUUGGAAACAGAACGUCAUACGAUGCUCAUGAUCCUGAAGGACCACAAGCUAACCCUCUACUGAUAUCUGUACUUGGACACUGCAUAAUAUAGAUAAUAAAUGCAAAACCUGGCCAUAAGGUUCAAAACAUUUUAAAAUACUCAAAAUUUAAAAUUGAAUACUGAUAUAUUUGUCCGAAAAACCUCUAAACUAUCUGAACUGUAGAGUUGAUGGGACAUGUCCCCAACUAACUCCGUCUACUAAAAAUAAAAUAAAUCUGAUGCGAUAAUAAAAUAAGGAUCAUCCUCGACUGAAGAAGACUUACUGCUAUGUCUACUGCUGCUAACUUGGACUGAGCUGCUAAGGGUACUCUGGAUCUCGUGCCUCUGAAUCUAUGGUGUCAAAUAAAACACCAUAGCGUAAAUGCGUCAGUACAAGAAUGUACCGAGUAUGCAUAUGAGGUAAGGCUAAAUGCAUAAACAUUUACUAAACUGACUAAUCAUGAGAGUACUGAAUGAGAACACAUGCAUGAAUGCACAAACCAUAAAGACAACCAUUGCGACUCUGAAUACUAAAACUUGGAUACUGCAUUACUGUCAUCUGAACUCACUACUAAUAUUGAGAUACUGAACAAUUAAAUCAUCUGAUAUCGAUAACUGAGUACUGGAGUUAAGAUCAGUUUUAUUUAGAGAGUGGUUUCAAAAUCUGAGGAUACUGAAGCUGAUUGAUUAAAUAUACUCACGUUAUUGCCUGAAUUUUAAGCUUUUUACUCUUGACUGACUGCAUCGGGGAUCAAACCUCUCUAAUGGAUGAUUCUAGAAUCUACUAUCAAUGAUAAGAAAAGAUCAUGUCCAAAUCUGACAAUAAGAAUACUCAACCAAAUCUGAGACUGAGAUCAACCCUAUCUAACGGGUGAUAUCUAGAUUUGAUAACAAGAAUACUCGACUAAAUCUGAGACAGAGAUCAGGCCUAUCUGAUGGGUGAUCUCUAGAUCUGAUAAUGAGAUUAAUCAACUGAAUAUGAGACUGAGAUUAAGCCUAUCUGACAAGUGAUCUCUAGAUCUGAUAACAAGAAUACUCAACUGAAUUUGAGACUAAGAUUAAGCCUAUCUGACGGGUGAUCUCUACAUCUGAUAAUGAGAUUACUCAACCGAAUAUAAGACUGAGAUCAAGACUAUUUGACCGGUGAUCUCUAAAUCUGAUAACAAGAAUACUCAACUAAAUCUGAGACUGAGAUCAAGCCUAUCUGACGAUAAUCUCUAGAUCUGAUAAUAAGAUUACUCACCUAAAUAUAAGACUGAGAUCAAGCCUAUCUGACGGGUAAUCUCUAGAUCUGAUAACAAGAAUGUUUAACUAAAUUUGAGACUGAGAUCAAGCCUAUCAGAUACGUAAUCUCUAGAUCUGAUAAUAAGAUUACUCAACUGAAUAUGAGACUGAGAUCAAGCCUAUCUAACGGUUGAUCUCUAGAUCUGAUACUGAAUAACUUUAUAUAAGACCAAGCCUAUCUUACGGGUGGUCCAUGAAUCAACGAAACUAUCUGAGUUCCUCACUGAGACAGAUGAUUGUAUCUUAUAGUCCUGAUUUUUAAAGAUUGAUACUGAAACUGUAACUGUGGGAAGUAGUCACUUAACCGACAUGCCCCAAAUCUAAACUGGUGGGGUCCAAUCUGUAACCCCAGCUGGAAGGGUGUCAAUACCAUGUCACGGGUAAAGGCCUCUCUGGUCAAGCCUAUCUAACAGGUGACACUAGCAGGAAGUCAAGCCUAAGGCAUAUGAUAGUCAAGCCUAUCUGACGGGUGACCAACCUUUCCUAACGGGUGACUCUUGCAUCCUGUGGCUACGCAGUUCUAAAGUUCAGGGAUUACUCCUAACGACUCUACCUCUCUGAUGGGUAGCCGCAAUCCCUAUCCUCGCUCAGUUCUACCUCCUACUCUCAACUGAAGAACUCUAAAUUGAUUCUUAACUGAACAUAAACAAAGUUAAAUCUGAUACUGAUCAUAUUUCUCAAAUGAUCGGACUGAGUUAAGCUUAAUUCACUUAGUUCCGUAUCUGAAGGAAUACUACUGAAUCUCGUUAUCUAACUGAACGACACUAAUCUUUGAAUAGAGUACUCGAUUACUAUAGAGGUCAGAACUGGACACUAGAAUACUACUAGAUCUGAGCUGAAUACAGAACUGAGGCUAGAUUACUAGUAAUACUGAGAUUACAGCGAUUACAGAUUUUACUAAGAUUUCUUAAAUUCUAUAUAUGUCUGAGAAUACAGACUUUUAUAACUCAUUAAGUUCUGAGAAUCAUUGCUCAACUGUAAUUAUCGUGAAAAAUGACACGGGCUCUAGACAGCAGCUAAAUUGUUGGGUAUAAAUACCCCCAGGACUCGAUAACAUAAAAGUAAAACAUAACCAUUCUUGAAUAAUCAAGACAAUGGACAAUCAUUCACCAUCACAAUCACUAAGGCAUCACUUCAAGCAUUUAGGAAUCCUAAACACGUAAUAACAUAAGGGGACCUACUAUUGGAUCAUACUUCAUUCAACAAGGUCUUGCAUCAAACGCUUGGUAUGUAUUAAAGUCUUAGCAUGUAUCAAUGAGCACAUAAUUGGGGAAUUUCGUGCUAUCAUGUCAUAAUUCAUUCACUAAGGCUUUUCAACAAACACUUGGCAUGCAUGGGCUUGCACACAAUUGGGGAUUUCUAGUCAACAUGCUAUAAUGGUUCUAAUUCCUUCACAUAAGCAUUUUAUCAAACAUAUGGGGAGCAUGCUUUGCUUAUUCAACAAUUUUCUUCACCUAAUUGACAUAAACACAUCACUUAACAAACAACUUGAAGAGGGUUUAUCAUGAACAUCACAUGAAUAUCAUAUACUAAGGUCGAAGCUUGAAAACCUUGCAAACAAACAUGAAUCAAAACAAAAUAAUAGUGUGAACAUCAAUUUCAACACACAUGAAUCAUGAAAACCCAUAACCAUAAGAUCUUUGAAUUUUAGAAAAGGGUUCUUGAGCUUCUUGGAUGAAAGGGACCCAAGGAUCAACAUCUACAUACCUUGGGGAAACUUCUUCCUUGAAGGCUCAUGGAGAGAUUCGUAAUUUCUCUUGAUCUCUCUUGAUUUUUCUUGAAGAAGAAAGAAGGAUUUUGAUUUUGUAGGAAACCCUAGUGUUUAAUGUUAGAGAUGAAGAAUGAAAUUGUAAGCCUUGAUCGGAUAUAAAUAGGUCCUGAAAAGAGUGGGAAAAGACCAAAAAGCCAUUUAAAAACCGAGUUAAAAUUAUCGAUCGGGGACUGCUACGGUCGAAGUAGCGGUCUGUCGCUCAGUCGGACGGUUCAUCGGAUCGUCCGUCGCAUAUUGGCCCAGAAAAGAAUACAUUGCCUUGGGAUGACGGUCGAAGUGAUUUUCCAUUCCAAACCCGAUAGUCCAUCAGACCAUCCGUCGCAUGUGACGGUCUCAGUGACGGUCCUUCACAGACCCGACAGUCCAUCGUUUUGGCCAUCGCAAUUGAUUAGAAAAGGGAGUUACUGCCUUGGUUACGACAGUCUGGGUGAUGGUCCAUCUCAAGAUCGACGGUCCAUCAACCGGAUCGUCGCACCUGGGCAGUUACGACUAUUUUCAGUAAAAUGGCCAUAACUUUCUCAUUCGAUGCCGGAUUUUAAUGAAAUUGGUAUCGAUGGAAUGAUUAUUUAGUGCUCUACAUGAAAAAAAGUCAAUAUUAGGAAAAUUAUACAUGGUUAAAAAUAUUUCUCACUUGGGAAGACGCUUCUCAACCUUUUAGAUUUGGAUUUACGCUUCACUUGACAUGCUCUAAGGCUCAGACUACGAGAUAAAUUUAUAGGGUCUUAUAUUAUCUCCCUCUUGGAAACAUUCAUCCUCGAAUAUCGCUUAAUAAUCUAAGAAUACUAAUCGACUGAACUUACUCAAGGAACAAGAACAUCUGUAACAUGACUAUGAAAUUGGAACCACUGAUCUCUGAGUUCUCAUACUGGACAUGCAUACCUUACGCAUGGAAUACUCAACUAAAGUUACUCAUAAUUGAAUUCUCCUAGUAGACAUGCAUAUUUGAUUCAUGGAUGCAUAACUGGGUUGAUCUCAUGAAUGCAUGACUAAACACACUAAAAAGUUGAAAUCUUUCCACUGAACGUGCAUAUCUAAUGCAUAAAUGUCUGACUGAACUGACUCUCAAAAGCAUGAAUGGCUAUGCAAUGACAACCGACGUUAACUUCAUAAGGAGAGUCUGAAUAUGUAAGUAAAUGAGUCUAAGAACAUGAGAGCAUCGCAAUAUCAUGGGGUAUCUCCCCCUUGGGACUCUAUGUCCCUCUACAAACACCUUACUGAAAUACUGGGGUGGUGCACGGGGCACCUACGAACUGGGUCAUGAUUGACUGACUUAGAUCUGAAACCCAUGCAUGACUCAUGCUAAUAUAAAAGCUCAAAAUGAAAAAAAAGGAUCUAUCAAUGCAUAUCACAAAUAUAAAGGACUCAUAACAUACCCGAGUCAAUAUCAGGGAACCUUUCCUGAUUAUGGAAAGCCAGAAACCCAUAGAGACUGUUUUGAACCUGACCACUAUUAGCACCGGAAGGGGCAAUUUUCUGAAGAAACUCUCUACCCCUCUAAGCUAGCACUCUACACUCUUGCAUACUGUGGCCUGGCUCACCAUACCCAAAUCACACAUCACUAUCGGCUCUACACACACCUAGGUGGCUAUUCCCUCACUCUCUACAAAACGGAUUGGUACGAACACCACUAGCACUACUCAGGGGUUUGGAUCCAGACGCUCCUUCAUAACUGACACCCCCAAACUCUGGUGCGGGUACACUAGCUGAGGAUGGAGCUAGGAUCGAAAAUCUCUGACUAUACUGAGAACGACUACCACCUUGGGACCCUUCCUGAGAGAAUCCAUGACUACCUGUCCUGGCUCUCUUACUCACUCUCUCUUUCUUUCAUCUUAUCUGCCUCAAUCUGCUACGCAUGCAUCAUCAGCCUAGCAAGGUCCAUAUCUCUAUGAAGCAUAGCAGUUCUACACUAUUUCAAUACUAACCCAGACACACCAAUCAUAAACUUACUCAUACUCGCUCUAGGGUCAGCUGUCAAGUCAGAAGCAUACUUAGCUAACUGGUUAAACGUAAGAUAAUACUCUUUCACUGUCAUGGAGCCUUGCCUUAGGAUUAUAAACUCAUAUACCCUAUUAUCUCUCAUAUCUAGCGCAAAAAACUUAUCUAAGAAGUCACCCUGAAACUCUUGCCAAGUCAGAGGAGCUGCAUACUCCCUUCUACCCUUCUGUCACAUCACUACCCAAUCAUGAGCAAUAUCCUUCAGCCUAUAGGAUGCUACUCUACACUCUUCUCCUUCAAAACAUGCAUGACCUGGGUGAUUUUCUUCACUUUCUCUAGAUAAAGUUGUGAGUCCUCACCUGCUACUGACCCAAAGAAUUCUAGCGGGCUCAUUCUCAUGAAAUAUCUAAUUCUGGUUGUGGCUGAACCCUCAUCUUGCUGAGGUGGGGCCAUAUCCUGACGGUUACCCUGAACAUUAGUCCCAGCUUGGGCUAGCGCCUGAAAAGCUGCCCGAAACUCAGCAUAUGACACACUCUCGCUCUCAACAUCUACUGGCGGAGGGGGCUGAUCAUCAACCCUAUGGCACUAUCUCUGUGAGGAGGCAUACUCUAUAAAUGGAAGAAAGAGGUGUAUUAGACUGAGGAUCAACUCGAGCUCAUGCUCAAUUAUAUGAUAUAAAUACUAAAAGAAGGAAAACUGCUCUCGAAAAAAUCUUAUAGCCUCUUGUACAUAAAUGUGGUGCGCAACACACCCAUGCAUAAGACUCUACUAGAUGCAACUUUUCAGACUCCCUAGGACACUAUUGAACCUUAGGCUCAGAUACCAAGUUUGUAACGACCUAAUUUUUUAGAAUUGAAAUAUCACACGGUGCUCAUGAUCCCAAAGUACAACAAUCUAACCCUCUACUGAUAUCUAUACCUGGACACUGUAUAUUAUAGAUAAUAAAUGUUAAAACUGGACAUAAGGUUCAAAAUAUCUAAAAAUACUCAAAAUUUAAAGCUGAAUAUUGAUACACCUAUUGGAAAAGCCUCUAAACUGUCUAAACUGUGGAUUUGAUGGGACAUGUCCCCAACUAACUCCGUCUACUGAAAAUAAACUAAAUUUGAUGCGAUAAUAAAAUAAGGAUUAUCCCCGACUGAAGAGUACUCACUGCUAUGUCUACUACUGCUGACUGGGACUUAGCUGCUAAGGGUACACUGGAUCUCGUACCUCUGAACCUAUAGUGUCAAUAAAACACCAUAGCGCAAAUGCGUCAGUACGAGAAUGUACCAACUAUGCAGAUGAGGUAAGGCUAAAUGCAAGGGCUUAUACAUGACCAUUUUCUUAACUAACUAAACAUGAGAGUACUGAAUGAGAACACAUGCAUAAAUGCAAAAACCAUAACUACAACUAUCAAGACUCUAAAUACUGAAACUCGAAUACUGCAUUACUAUUAUCUGAACUCACUACUAAUACUGAGAUACUGAAAAACUGAAUCAUCUGAUACUAAUAAUUGAGUACUGGAGUUGAGAUCAGUCUUAUCUAGCGAGUGAUCUCAGAAUCUGAGGAUACUGAAGCUGAUUGACUAAAUAUACUCACAUCAUUGCCUAAAAUUUGAGCUUUCUACUCUCGACUGAUUGCAUCAGAGAUCAAAUAAAUCUAACAGAUGAUUUCAAGAUCUACUAUCAAUGAUAAGAAAAAACCAUGUUCGAAUCUGAUAACAAGAAUACUCAACUGAAUCUGAGACUGAGAUCAAGCCUAUCUGACGGGUGAUCUCUAGAUCUGAUAAUGAGAUUACUCAACUAAAUAUGAGACUGAGAUCAAGCCUAUCUGAUGAGUGAUCUCUUGAUCUGAUAAUGAGAUUACUCAACUGAAUAAAAGUCUAAGAUCAGGCCUAUUUGAUGGGUGAUCUCUAGAUCUGAUAACAAGAAUACUCAACUAAAUCUGAGAUUGAGAUCAAACCUAUCUGAUGGGUGAUCUCUAGAUUAGAUACUGAGAUUACUCAACUAAAUAUGAGACUGAGAUCAAGCCCAUUUGAUGGGUGAUCUCCAGAUUUGAUAACUAGAAUACUAAACUGAAUCUGAGACUAAGAUCAAGCCUAUAUGGCGGGUGAUCUCUAGAUCGGAUAACAAGAAUACUCAACUGAAUCUGAAACUGAGAUCAAGCCUAUCUAUUGGGUGAUCUCUAGAUCUGAUAAUGAGAUUACUCAACUGAAUAUGAGGCUGAGAUCAAGCCUAUCUAAUGGGUGAUCUCUAGAUCUGAUACUGAAUAACUUUAUAUGGGGCCAAGCCUAUCUGACGGGUGGUCCAUAAAUCAAUGGAACUAUCUAAAUUCCUCACUGCGAUAGAUGACUAUAUCUUGCAGUCCUAAUUUUUAAAGAUUGAUACUGAAACUGUAACUGUGGGAAGUAGUCACUUAAUCGACAUACCUCGAAUCUCAACUAGUGGGGUCCAACCUAUAACUCCAGCUGGAAGGGUGUCAUUACUGUGCCACGGGUAAAGAACUGUCUAGUCAAUCAUAUCUGACGGGUAAUCCUUGUAGGAAGUCAAGCCUAAGGCAUAUAAUAGUCAAGCCUAUCUGAUGGGUGACCAGCCUUUCCUGAUGGGUAACUCUUGUAUCCUGCACUGGCUACGCAGUUUUAGAGUUCAGGUAUUACUCCUAAUAACUCUGUCUCUCUGAUGGGGAGCCCCUAUCCCUGCCCUCGCUCGGUGCUAGCUCCUACUCUCAACUAAAAGACUCUGAUCUGUUUCUUAACUGAACACAAAUUGAGUUGAAUCUGAUACUGAUCAUAUUUCUCAAAUGAUUUAACUAAGUUAAGCUAAAUUCACUUGGUUUCGUAUCAGACAAAAUACUACUGAAUAUAGUUAUCUAACUGAACAACACUGAGCUUUGAAUAGAGUACUCGAUUGAUAGAGAGGUUAGAACUGAACACUUGAAUACUACUAGAUCUGGGAUGAGUACAGAACUGAGGCUAGAUUACUAGUGAUACUGAGAUUACGGCGAUUACAGAGAUUAUUGAGAUUUCUUAAAUUCUAUAUUUGUCUAAGAAUACAAAAUUCUAUAACUCAUUGAGUUCUGAAAAUCAUGGAUUGACUGGAAUUACUGUGAAAACUGACACGGGCUCUAGACAAUAGCUAAAUUAUCGGGUAUAAAUACCCCAGGACUCGAUAACAUAAAAGUAAAAUAUAACCAUUCUAGAAUAAUAAAGACCAUGGACAAUCAUUCACCAUCACAAUCACUAAGGCAUCACUUCAAGCAUUUAGGAAUCCUAAGCAUGUAAUAACAUAGGGGGACAUGCUAUUGGAUCAUACUUCAUUCAACAAGGUCUUUCACCAAACGCUUGGCAUGUAUUAAAGUCUUAGCAUUUAUCAAGGAGCAUAUAAUUGGGGAAUUUCGUGCUAUCAUAUCAAAAAUCAUUCACUGAGACUUUUCAAUAAAUACUUGACAUGCAUGGGCUUGCACACAUUUGGGGAUUUCUAGUCAACAUGUUAUAAUGGUUCUAAUUCCUUCACAUAAUCAUUUUAUCAAACAUAUGGGGAGCAUGCUUUGCUUAUUCAACAAUUUUCUUCAGUUAAUUAACAUGAACACAUUACUUAACAAGCAACUUGAAAAAGGGUUUAUCAUGAAAACCACAUGUAUAUCACAUACUUGGGUCAAAGGUUGAAAACCAUGCAAACAAACAUGAAUCAAAACUAAAUAAUAGUAUGAACAUCAAUUUCAACACACAUAAAUCAAGAAAACCCAUAAACAUAAGAUCUUUGAAUUUUAGAAAAGGGUUCUUAAGCUUUUUGGAUGAAAGGUACCCAAGGAUCAAUAUCUACAUACCUUGGGGAAACUUCUUCCUUGAAGGCUCUUGGAGAGAUUCUUGAUUUCUCUUGAUCUCUCUUGAUGUUUCUUGAAGAAGAAAAAAGGGUUUUAAUUUUGUAGGAAAUCCUAGUUUUUGAUGUUAGAGAUGAAGAAUUAAAUUGUGAGCCUUGAUCGGAUAUAAAUAGAGGCUGAAAAGAGUGGGAAAAAGAUUAAAAAUCCCUUUAAAAAUUGAGUUAAAAUUUCCGAUCGAGGACUGUGACGGUUGCAGUGGCGAUCCGUCGCUCAGUCUGACGGUCCAUCGGAUCGCCCGUCGGACAUUGGCUCAAAAAAGAAUGCACUGCCUCAGGGUGACAUUCAAAGUGAUGGUCUGUUGUAAACCCGACGGUCCGUCGAACCGUCCAUCACAUGUGACAGUCUCAGCGACAGUCCAUUGCAUACCCGAAGGUCCGUUGUUUUGGCCGUCGAGGCCAGAAAAGAGAGUAAAUACCUUGGCUGCGAUGGUCUGGGCGAAGGUCCGUAGGAAUCUCGAUGAUCCGUCAACCCGGUCGUCGCACCUAGGCAGUUGCGACUAUUUUCAGUAAAAUGUCCAUAACUACCUCGUCCGAUGCCAGAUUUUGACGAAAUUGGUAUCGAUGGAAAGCUUACUCAAUGCUCUACAUGACAUAAAGUUAAUAUUAGGGAAAUUCUAUAUAUUUCAAAAUAUUUAUCACUUGGGAAGACACUUCUCAACCUUUUAGGACUGGAUUUACACUUCACUUGAUACGCUCUAACGCUUAGACUACGAGAGAAAUUUGCAGGGUCUUAUAUUAUCUCCCCCUUAUAAACAUUCAUCCUCAAAUGUUACUUGAUAGGCUAAGAAUACUGAUCGAUUGAACUUACUCAAGGAACAAGAACAUCUGUAUCAUGACUAUGCAAUUGGAACAACAUGAGAGUAUCGCAAUAUAUGGGCUAUCUCCCCCUUAGGACUCUAUGUCCCUUUACAAACACCUUGCUGAAAUAUUGGGGCGGUGCACGGGGCAUCUACGAACUGGCUCAUGAUUGACGGACUUAGAUUUGAAACUCAUGCAUGACUCAUGCUGACAUAAAAGCUCAAAAUGGAAGCAAAGGAUAUAUCAAUGCAUAUCACAAAUAUAAAGGACUUAUAACAUACCCGAGUCUAUAUCAGGGAACUUUUCCUGAUCAUGGAGAGCCUAAAACGCAUAGAGACUGUUCUGACACUGACCACUAUUGGCACCGGAAGGGGCACUCUACUGAAAAAACUUUCUACCCCUCUGAGCUAGCACUCUACACUCUCGCAUCCUGUGGCCUGGCUCACCAUACCCAAAGCAUACAUCACAAUCGGCUCUAGACACACCUAGGUGGCUCUUACCUCACUCUUCACAAAGCGGAUUGGUACGAACACCACUAGUAUUACUUAAGGCUUUGGAGCCAGGCGCUCCAUCAUAACUGACACCCCCGAACUCUGGUGCGGGUACACUAGCUGAUGUUGGAGCUAGGAUCGAAAAUAUCUGACUAUGCUGAGAACGACUACUACCCUGGGACCCUGCCUGAGAGAAACUAUGACUACCUGUCUUGGCUUUCUUACUCACUCUCUCUCUUUCUUUUAUCUAAUCUACCUCAAUCUGUUGCGCAUGCAUCAUCAGCCUAGCAAGGUCUAUAUCUCUGUGAAGCAUAGCAUCUCUACACACUUUCAACACUAACCCGAACACACCAGUUACAAACUUACUUAUACUCGCUCUAGGGUCAACUAUCAAGUCUGGAGCAUACUUAUCUAACUGGUUAAACUUAAGACAAUACUCUUUCACUUUAAUCGAGCCUUGCCUUAGGUUUACGAACUCCUUUUCCUUAGAAUUGAAAUGUCACACGGUGCUCAUGAUCCCAAAGUACAACAAGCUAACCCUCUACUGAUAUCUAUACCUGGACACUGUAUAUUAUAGAUAAUAAAUGUUAGAACUGGCCAUAAGGUUCAAAAUAUCUAAAAAUACCCAAAAUUUAAACCUGAAUACUGAUACACCUAUCCGAAAAGCCUCUAAACUAUCUAAACUGUGGAUUUGAUGGGACAUGUCCCCAACUAACUCCGUCUACUAAAAAUAAACUAAAUUUGAUGCUAUAAUAAAAUAAGGAUCAUCCCCGACUUAAGAGUACUCACUGCUAUGUCUACUACUGCUGACUGGGACUUAGCUGCUAAGGGUACACUGGAUCUCGUACCUCUGAACCUAUAGUGUCAAAUAAAACACCAUAGCGCAAAUGCGUCAGUACGAGAAUGUACCAACUAUGCAGAUGAGGUAAGGCUAAAUGCAAGGGCUUUAUACAUGAACAUUUUCUUAACUAACUAAACAUGAGAGUACUGAAUGAGAACACAUGCAUAAAUGCAAAAACCAUAACUACAACUAUCAAGACUCUAAAUACUGAAACUCGAAUACUGUAUUACUAUUAUCUGAACUCACUACUAAUACUGAGAUACUGAAAAACUGAAUUAUCUGAUACUAAUAAUUGAGUACUGGAGUUGAGAUCAGUCUUAUCUAGCGAGUGAUCUCAGAAUCUGAGGAUACUAAAGCUGAUUGACUAAAUAUACUCACAUCAUUGCCUAAAAUUUAAGCUUUCUACUCUCGACUGAUUGCAUCAGAGAUCAAAUAAAUCUAACAGAUGAUUUCAAGAUCUACUAUCAAUGAUAAGAAAAAACCAUGUUCGAAUCUGAUAACAAGAAUACUCAACUGAAUCUGAGACUGAGAUCAAGCCUAUCUGACGGGUGAUCUCUAGAUCUGAUAAUGAGAUUACUCAACUAAAUAUGAGACUGAGAUCAAGCCUAUCUGAUGGGUGAUCUCUAGAUCUGAUACUGAAUAACUUUAUAUGGGACCAAGCCUAUCUGACGGGUGGUCCAUGAAUCAAUGGAACUAUCUGAGUUCCUCACUGAGAUAGAUGACUAUAUCUGACAGUCCUAAUUUAUGAAGAUUGAUAUUGAAAUUGUAACUAUGGAAGUAGUCACUUAACCGACAUGCCCUGAAUCUCAACUGGUGGGGUACAACCUGUAACCCCAGCUAGAAGGGUGUCAAUACUGUGCCACGGGUAAAUAACUCUCUGGUCAAGCCUAUUUGACGGGUGACCCUCGCAAGAAGUCAAGCCUAAGGCAUAUAAUAGUCAAGCCUAUCUGAUGGGUAACUAGCUUUUCUGACGGGUAACUCCUGUAUCCUGCGCUAGCUACGCAAUUCUGGAGUUCAGGGAUUGCUUAUAACAAUUCUAUCUCUCUGAUGGGGAUCCACCAUCCCUGUCCUCGCUCGAUGCUAGAUCCUACUCUCAACUGAAAGACUCUGACCUGAUUCUUAACUGAACACAAACUGAGCUGAAUCUGAUAUUGAUCAUGUUUCUCAAAUGAUCGGAUGAGUUAUGCUGAAUUCACUUGGUUUUAUAUCUGCCGAAAUACUACUGAAUCUCGUUAUCUAACUGAAUGAUACUGAGCUUUGAAUAGAUUACUCAAUUACUACAGAGGUCAGAACUGAACACUUGAAUACUACUAGAUCUGAGCUGAGAACAGAACUGAGGCUAGAUUACUAGCAAUACUGAGAUUACGACAAUUACAGAGAUUACUGAGAUUUCUUAAAUUCUAUAUAUGUCUGAGAACACAGAGUUUUAUAAUUCGCUGAUUUUUGAGAAUCAUGGCUCGACUGGAAUUAUCAUAAAAACUGACACGGGCUCUAGACAGCAGCUAAAUUGUCAGGUAUAAAUACCCCCAGGGCUUGAUAACAUAAAAGUAAAACAUAACCAUUAUUGAAUAAUCAAGACCAUAGACAAUCAUUCACCAUCACAGUCACUAAGGCAUCACUUCAAGCAUUUAGGUAUCCUAAACAUGUAAUAACAUAGGGGGACAUGCUAUUGGAUCAUACUUCAUUCAACAAGGUCAUGCAUCAAACGCUUGGCAUGUAUUAAAGUCUUAGCAUGUAUCACAGAGCACAUAAUUGGGGAAUUUUGUGCUAUCAUGUCACAAUUCAUUCACUAAGGCUUUUCAACAAACACUUGACAUGCAUGGGCUUGCACACAAUUGGGGAUUUUUAGUCAACAUGCUAUAAUGGUUCUAAUUCCUUCACAUAAGCAUUUUAUCAAACAUAUGGGGAGCAUGCUUUGCUUAUUCAACAAUUUUCUCCACUUAAUUAACAUGAACACAUUACUUAAGCAACUUAAAGAGAGUUUAUCAUGAAUAUCACAUACUAGGGUCAAAGCUUGAAAACCGUGUAAACAGACAUGAAUCAAAACUAAAUAAUAGUAUGAACAUCAAUUUUAACACACAUGAAUCAUGAAAACCCAUAAACAUAAGAUCUUAAUUUUAUGAAAGGGUUCUUGAGCUUCUUGGAUGAAAGGGACCCAAGGAUCAACAUCUACAUACCUUGGGGAAACUUCUUCCUUGAAGGCUCUUGGAGAGAUUCUUGAUUUCUCUUGAUCUCUCUUGAUUUUUCUUGAAUAAGAAAGAAGGAUUUUGAUUUUGUAGGAAACCCUAAUUUUUUAUGUUAGAGAUGAAGAAUGAAAUUGUGUGCCUUGAUUAGAUAUAAAUAGAGGCUGAAAAGAAUAGGAAAAAGACCAAAAAGCCCUUUAAAAAUUGAGUUAAAAUUACCGAUCGGGGACUACAACGGUCGAAGUAGCGGUCCAUCGCUCAGUCUGACGUUCCUUCAAAUCAUCCGUCACACAUUGGACUAGAAAAGAAUACACUGCCUCGGGGUGACGGUCCGUCGGACCGUCCGUUGCAUGUGACGGUCUCAGCGAUGGUCCAUCGCAGACCUGAUGGUCCAUCAUUUUGGCUGUUGCACUUGGCCAGAAAAGGGAUUUAAUUCCUUGGCUGAGAUGGUCCGUCGCAAGCUCGACUAUCCAUCAACCCGAUCGUCGCACCUGGGCGAUUCCGACUAUUUUCAGUAAAACGGCUAUAACUUCCUCGUCCGAUGCUGGAUUUUAAUGAAAUUGAUAUCGAUGGAAAGAUUAUUCAAUGCUCUACAUGAAAAAAUAUCAAUAUUAGAGAAAUUCUGCACGGUUCAAAAUAUUUCUCACUUAGGAAGACACUUUUCAACCUUUUAGGAUCAGAUUUACACUUCACUUGACACGCUCUAAGUCUUAGACUACGAGAGAAAUUUACGGGAUCUUACAUAUGGUUAAAACUCAUUUAUACAUGUUUAAUUCAUCUGGCCCAAGUUCAUCAUCGACAUAUAGUGAAGAUGUAGAUAGAGAAGAACUAGAAAAAAUGGUUGUUGUUAUGGGUUUAUCUUUUAGUUUUCCUUCGCAUCCCGAUUUUAUUCUUUAUAUUCAAUGAGUAUAUAAUCCCUCUUUUAAAUAUUUUUCAUGAAAUACAAUUAAGAAUGAUAUUUUUAAAUUUCAAGCUGAACAUUGCCAUUUUCUUCGUUGCUUAUUUGAUAAAUUUGAUGGUAGAAUAUCUAUUACUUCUGAUAUGGGUCGUAGUGUUGUCGGUAAUGAUUAUUUUACUCUCACGGCUCAUUGAAUUUAUCACUAUUGAAACAUGUAAAAAAAAUUAUUGCUUACAAAUAUGUUAACGAGUUUAAAACCGAUAUCUAUAUAGCUAAUACAAUAACGGAGAGCAUGAAAUAUUUUAGAUUUGUUGGUAAAACUAUGGCAUGCACAUUAGAUAAUGCUUCUAAUAAUUUGAAAGUUGUUGAAGAGUUAAAAACUAGAUUAUGUCCUAUGGAUGAAGAUCAUUUUCAUGUUAAAAUGUACUGCAUAUAUUUUAAAUUUAAUAGUACAUAAUGGUGUUCAUUUGUUUGGAAAUGGUUGUUAUAAAGUUCGAAUUGCUUGUAGUUACAUUUUUAAAAAUAAAAUAAAGAAUGUAAUGGAUGAUUUUAAAUAUAAAUGUAGACAAUGUGACCUUCCAUAUAGAAAAGUUCCUACUAGAUGGAAUUCUUUGUUUCAAAUGCUUGAAGUUGAUUUUAUAUAUCGUAAACCUAUACAAUUUGUUUAUAAUGCUUAUAAUUUGGAUGUUAAUUUAAUGCUAGAUGAAGAUAAUUGGAUUGAAGUAGAAGAACUUUCUAAAUUUUUGAAAACUUUUUAUCAAGCUACGAACACAGUAUCUGCUCAAUAUACUCCAACUAUUUCUUCUGUUUUAGUAACUAUUACUGCUAUUUCUAAAGUACUUGUUGAAUAUAAAAAAAAUAUGUCCUUACAAAGAGGCAAUUGAAGUUAUGGUUGAUAAAUUUAAAAAAUAUUAUUUUUCUAUUCCAUAAAUUUAUUUGACAGCUACUUUAUUCAACCCAUUUUAUAAAGAACAUGAUGCAGUGAUGUUGGUUCAAAAACUAUACAACAAUUUAGAAAUUGGACCUCAUAAAAAGCCAUCAGUUGACACUUGUUGUGCUAGCAUAGUACCUAAAGCUAGAAGUUUAUAUAACUUGUAUCAAGUUAUAGAACAAAAUAUUGGGUCGGUCGAACCUUCUACUUCUAAGCAUAGAUAUAAUGAUUUAGAUAACGAGAUGGGUGAAGAACUUGGUCUUCAAUGUUGUAGGAGUAAUGAUUUUGAUUCGUAUCUUUUGCAGGAUCAUAAAAAUAUUAGAGAUGGAACUGAAAAAUAACAACUUUUAUCAUGGUGGAAGACCCGUAUUAGACAAUUUUCAAAUCUUUCAAGGAUGGUUCGAGAUGUGCUAUCAACUCAAGCUUCUUCAGUUGCUUCGGAGCAAGCUUUUAGCACAGAAAGAUUUGUAAUUGGAUAUCAUUGAUAUUCGUUAGCAAGGGAUAGUUUGGAGAUUUCGGUAUUAUUUAGAGAUUGGAUCAAUGCCGAACGAAGAAAUUUUGGGCUCCCAAAAUUACCGCCCAUGUUGAAGAUGAAAUAGAUGAAACUUUUUAGGAAAAUAGUGAUAAUGAAAUGGAAGCAAUGGAGGAACAAGGAAAAAGAUCAAUUCCAGAAAAUUUAUCCGUCGAAGGAAUAGAAAAGUUACGCCAAGAAUAUUAUAGACAAUUUAGAUAUUAAUAAGAUUCUACAAUAGAGAUCUAAUUUAAACAGAACCCUUCCUAGAAGGUGGCUGCGUAGAUUACAUUUUCUUUUAAUAUCUUUGUAAUAAAUGUAUAACGUAUGGAAGUUGAAUAAAUAUAACGGCUAUUCGCCUAAUUUUAUUUUAAAAAUUUUCUUUUGUUUGAUGCAACUAUCUUAGCUAAAAUUACAAAGUUUAUAUUUAUAACUUUGAAGUUAUGGGGAAAAAAGUUUAAUACUUUUAACUUUAUAAAGUUAGGAAAAUUUUUAACUUUACAACUUAAAAUUAUAUAAAUAUAAUUUAACUUCUUAAACUUAUUAAAAAUAUUAUAUUAACUUAAACUUAAGAAUAUAUUUUUAAGUUUAAGAUAUAUUAAAACAUGUUAUAUUUAUUAACUUAAACUUAAAAUAUAUUUUUUAAUUUAAAAUUUUAAGCUUUUUAAGAUUUAUUAAACUUAAACUUAUUAAAAAAAAGUUAAUAAAAAAAUGUUAUAUUAAUCUAUUAUAUUAAUAAAAUAUAAGUUAUAUAAACUAUAUAAGUUAAUAUAUAUAUAAUUUAAAUUAAAGAGAAAAAAAACGUGUCAAGAAUUGUACAUAACGUUACCAACUCCGGCUUCUCUUCCGGUAUAGCUCCGAUGUCAUUCCGGUCCAGCCCAGUUCCACACUGGUAACCAAUGGACCGGUGUGUACCAGGCAAAAAUUUCAGUAUUCCGAUUUCGGUAAUACCGGUUUCGGCGACAAAUUCGGUAAGGCAGUUUUGGUACCGGUUCCAGUCAAAUCGGCUCGACGGUACCGGUUCCGAUUUGUUGCCAGCCUUACUCAACUAUGAGUUCUUUUCUUAGAAAGUCAUUCAAAUUUACUUUUUAGUUCAAAAGUCACUCAACUAUAAGUGUCUUACUUACAAAGUCACUCAAGCUAUUUAAUUAAUUCUUUCCAUUAAAAUUUGCUAACAUCUAAUUUUUAUUAUUUAAACAAUCAAUUUAAUGACCGCCUACCCCCGCACACCAAAAUUCAUUUAAAUGGUUUAAAAGAAUAUCUCUUUAUUUCUUAGAAUUUUAAUUUUACUAUUAUUUUUUGUAAUUUUCUUGUCCAAUAAUUACUCUAUACUCUAAAGUAUAUAUAAUCAUACAAAUCAUCAAUUAAUAUCCUAAAAUCACAAUCAUUUAAUUGUACAAUUUUUGUUGCUAAUGUUACCUCGUUAUAGUGUAUAUUAAUGUUACUAAUGUUUAAUAACAUUUUCUAAUGUUUUAUAUCAUAUCAUUUUAGUUUAAAAUCUAUGACGUUCCCUUUUGUCAACUUAUUAGGAAUAAAAUUCAUUGUAUUUAUUUGAUGCAUCUGUAUAUUAUACAAGUGGUAAUACAAAAAAUACAUUAUGAUUGAAAAAUCAAUUCCAUAAAUAAGUAUCACGUUGAAAGUUAAUUAAAUCCAAUCAUCUAAAUUAAUAUGAUUCUAAAAAUCUUAAAAAUUAGUAUUAACAUUAUAAGUGAAUUGAUAUAAACUAUUUAUGAUAUUUUAAAAUUUCAACUGGCUAUAAAGUAAACAUGAGAAUAUGUAAUAAUAUGGUUCAAAUGAUAUUUUAGUUUUUUAGAAUUUUGAUUUUAAAUAAAAUCUUAUCUUAGCAAAUUUUAAUUAAUAGUUAAUUAAUUAAAUAGGUUGAGUGACUUUGUAAGUAAAAUAUUUAUAGUUAAGUGACUUUUAAAGUAAAAAUUAAAGUUGGGUAACUUUCUGAGAGAAUAAUCAUAAGUUGAGUGAUUUUUGGAGUAAGAAACAAAGUUGAGUGACUUUUUGAGAGAAAAUCAUACGUUGAGUGACCAUUUAAACUCCAAAAUGUAGACUAUUUAUUUCAGAAAACAAAUUAUUUUGUUCCAUGCACUUUUUUGGGGCUUUUUGUCCAGACGUGCUUCUGAACGUAACACAUAACUAAAAUGUAAAACUUGUUUCUAUCAAUAAAAUAUUUUAUUUUCUAGAAAACAAAUUCAAACUCAUAAAAGUAAAAGAAAGAAAAAUAAAACAAAACCAAAUUGAGCAAGAGCAAUAAAUUGUAAAUCCAACCUCGAAGUGAAAUCAGUUGAUUUUCCUAUCAACAGUCCUGUCAUACUAAAAACUCACAACAAAAACAACAACAAACCCAGUGUAUUCCCACCUAGUGGGGUCUGGGGGGUAAGAUGUACGCAGUCCAUACCUCUACCUCCAAAGAAGUAGAAAGGUUGUUUCCGAAAGAAAAAUAUAGUCUCUCCUCCUUUUUAUAUAGUGCAAGUACAUUUUUAUUAUUGUUACAUUUUUCAUACUAAUUUGCCUCUCCACUUUUAUUUUUAUUUCUUUUUUUAUAUUUUUUGUUGAUUUUUAUUUUUUAGUUUUUAUUUUCUUUUUUAAAGUCAUUUAUCUCAACUUUUAUUUUUUAAUAUUUUCUUCAUCUCUUUUCUUUUUUUUCUCAAGCAUUAUUUAUUUUUCAUUUCUCUUUUUUCUUCUUUUUUUAAUUAAUUUAUGUCAACAUUUAUUUUCUCUUAUUUUUUAUUUUUAUAUUUUCUCAAUUUUCUCCUUUUUUAUUUUUAUUUUUUUCUUCUCAUUUUUCUUUUUCACAGUCUUUAUUUUAAAAAAAAAUUAUUCUUCUCUUUUUUGUUUCUUUGUUUUUUUUUCACUAAAUCUUUGUUUUUUUUCCUACUUUGUUGUUUGGAAGUCUUUGGGAUAAGUCUAGUCUCUAAGACGAGUUAUAGAACAACUUAUAAAUCAAAAUAUAAUGUGGUACUGUCAACUCUUGGCCAUGGGACGUAACUUGUUGUUUGAAAGUCUUUGGGUAAACUCUUGCCUCUAAGGCAAGAUUUAGAGAACAUCUCAUAAAUCAAGACACAAUGUGGUAGUAUCAACUCUUGCCCAUGGGACGUAAUUUAUUGCUUGAAAGUCCUAAGUCUUGCCUCUAAGACAAGAGUUAUAGAACAUCUCACAAAUCAAAGACACAAUAACGUAGUGUCAACUUUUGUUCAUGGGACAUAUCUUGUUGUUUGAAAGUUGUUAGGCUAAUUUUUGUUUCUAAGACAAGAGUUAUAGAGCAUUUUAUAAAUCAAGACACAAUGUGAUAGUGUCAACCCUUGCCUAUGGGACAUAGCUUCUUGUUUGAAAGUUUUUAGACUAUGUCUUGUCUGAGUUAUAUAAUAUCUCAUAAAUCAAGAUACAAUGUGAUAGUGUAAAACAAGUCUUGCCUCUAAGACAAAAGUUAUAGAACAUUUCAUAACUAGAGACACAAUAUGGUAGUAUCAACUCUGAUCCAUGUAAUGCAACUUGUUGUUUGAAAAUCUUUGAUCUAAAAUUUACCUCUAAAUCAAGAUAGAAUAUCUUAUAAAUCAAGAUACAAUAUGAUAGUGUCAACUCUUAUCCAUGGGACAUAACAUGUUUGAAAGAAAUUGAAAUAAAAAGAAAAAAAAUAAUGAGGGUUGAGGAAAAAGAAAAAAGAAAAAUCAGAGGAAACAAAAAAAGAAAAAAAUAAAUAAUAGGAUUUGAGAGGAAAAAGGGAAAAAAUAAAGAUUGAAAAAAAAACAAAGAAAAAGAGAAACAAAAAAUAAAAGAGAAAUAUGGUUGCGAAAAUAAAAAAAUAAAGAAAAAAAAAGGAGAAAAAUAUAUAAAUAAUAUAGAAGUUGAGAGGAGAAAAAGAAAAAAAAAACAAAGAUUGAGAAAUUUUUUUUUAAAAAAUGAAAAAAUAAAUAGUAAAAUAAAAAAGAGAAAAAAAGAAGUUAAAAGAUAAAUAAGCAAGAAGAGUUGUUUAACAAAUUUUAAGUUACAAAGGCACAAAUAGGUAUUUGUUCGAUACAUUAAAACAAAAAAACUAAUUUUGUAGGACUUUUCUUUGGAGGACAACAAAAGCAAAAUCAGCUAUUGUGCAGGUCAAGGUCAUUUAUGUAGUCUACCCAUAAUAGGCAAAAUGCUCUAUUGGACCCCUGUACUAUGUCAGUUUUGUAAGUUGGACACUUCUACUUACAUAUUUGUCAUCUGAACCCCUGAACCCACGAAAAAACUACAUUUUAAACACUUUUUUGGAGAGUGUGACACACUCCCAUGUCAGCUACCACAUCAGCUGCCACGUGUGUCAUGUCAUCCGCCACACGUACCACGUCAUUUUAAAAAAAUAAAAAAUAAAAAAAAAUAGAAAAAGUACUACAUUAAAUUCCAAGUCAUUUUUAAAAUGUUACAUAACAAAUUAAACAUUAAAAUUCAUUUAAUUAAAUAACAAAAAUUUAUAAAUUGUAGAAAAAUUUGAAUAAUCAUGCUUUUAAAAUUUGAAAAAUUUGAAUAAUCAUUUUUAAAAUAAAAAAAUAAUUAAAAAAAAAGGGGAUUUUCAGGCCAAAUUAGUACGCUAUAGCCCACAGUUUCAGGGGUGGUCCCGGGGUCUAGGCUUGCUGUGGGCUAAAAAUAGACCAGGGUAUGGCAGGGAGGUUGGGGAUCGUCCGAGUAUGGUUCGUUUAAUUUUUCGUGGCCAUUUGGGUUGACAAAUUGUCGAAACGAUGAGAAUGGGGCUUUUUCGGGCCAAAUCGGUGGGCUAUAGCCCAUGAUUUUGGGGUUGAGCCCGGGGUCUGGGAGUGGAUUGGGCUAAAAAUUGACCAGGGCGUGCCAGAGAGGUUGGGGAUCGUCCCAGUAUGAUCCGUGUAAUUUUUCAUGGCCAUUUGGUUGGACAAACAGGCAAAAUGGUGCGAAUGGGGCAUUUUCGGGCUAAAUUGGUGUGUUAUAACCCACGAUUUUGGGGGUGGGCCCAGGGUAAGAGCGUACUAUGUGUCAAAAAUUGACCGAGGCAUGCCAGGGAGGUUGGAGAUCAUCCCAGUAAGGUCCGUUAAAUUUUUUUUUCCAUUUGGGUGGACAAACGGGCGAAACGGCGCGAACGAGGCAUUUUCGAGCCAAAUCGGUGUGGUAUAGCCCACGGUUUUGGGGGUAAGCCCGGGGUUCAGGCGUGCUGUAGGCCAAAAAUCGACCGGGGCAUGCCAGGAAGAUUGGUGAUCAUUGCACUAUGGUCCGUUUAUUUUUUUUUUUUGGCCAUUUGGGUAGACAUAAGGGCAAAAUGGCACGAACAGGGGCAUUUUCGGGCCAAAUCGGUGUGCUAUAGUCCACGGUUUUGGGUGGUCCCAUAGUUCAGGCGUGCUGCGGGCCAAAACUCGAUCGGGGUAUGCCAGGGAGGUUGGGGCUAGGUGGGGUGUGGGGGUGGGGACGAGCUGCGGGAGGGAAAAAAUAUUUUUAUUUUUUUAAAAUUUUUAAAAUGAUUUUUAAAAAUAAAUUAAAAAAGAUGGAGGGAAAAAAAGGAUCCUUUUAAAAUUAUUUUUUAAAUUUUAUUAUUAUUUUUAAUUAUUUUAAUAUAAAAUUGAUCAAAAAUUGACCCCACUAGUCACCAUGACCUUGUCUAUGUCAAAGAGUGCGAAAUGUUGUUUUUUGAUGGAUUCAAGGGUCCAGAUACAAACAUGUAAUCAGAAGUGUCCAACUUUCAAAACUGACAUAGUACAGAAGUCCGAUAGAGCAUUUUAAUAAAUCCAUACUGUGCAAGCACAAUAAAUUGCAAAACCAAUCUAGAGUGAAUUUUCAUCAAUUGGUUUCCCUACCAACAGUCUCCUGUCAUACUACUUGGAUAGGUUCUAGAUAACUUGCACAAGGAAAAAUGAAGAACUCUGGUAUCGAUAAGUUCACCACACACAGCACAGAACUACAUUCAAGUUAAUGUACGGCCUAUACUUUGCUUAAAGAAAAGAGAAACUAAAUGGAAGAGGAACUAAGCAUGGUGAUUGAAAAGUCCGGCUAGACAACAACAACAACAACAAACCCAGUUUAUUCCCACAAAGUGGGAAGUCUGGCUAGACACUAGCAGCAAAAAGCCCCCACAACCCAACUGUUUAUUGACUAAACUCUAUGUAAAAUCAUUUGUGGCAACUGUAUGAAGUCAUCAGCAUCCUCUUCACUAUCACUUCCGAUCCAGCCAUAACAAGGAAAGCGCCUUCUUGGUGGCUGAAGGAAAACUCGCUUCGAGGAAGGAAGAGUUGUUGGAAGAUGAUCAGCAGGGGUAGGCACACUAGUAACUGAAGCUUGCAGCGCUUGACUCCCAGAAUCUCCACCAUCACUGAAAAAUACAUUACCUAUCCCCUUCUGGAUAGAGGUUUGGUCCUCCCGUAUGUCUUUACACCUAUGUCCAUCUCCUUCAGCUGGUGGGAGACAUAAUACUUCUGCAAACAGGGUUGUUAGGGAAAUUUCACGAUCCAAGUUCCAGCACAAGUGAACUAUUGGAAUGAAUGAAACUGCUCCAGUUACACUAGAAAUAAUGCAAUAGUGUAGCUUCCCUAAUCUGUUGGUAUGUUAAAUUGGUUUAUGACUUGGAUGCUUUUUUAUUUCUAAGAGAUGGCAGAUGGAAUAAAAGCGAAAUAGAAGGCUAAUAAGGGAGAUAUGGAACUAUGUCAUUGGGUCUUCCAAAAGCAAAGGAAUGAUCCUUCUUUAGUUUAGUCAACUGAUCUGAUGGGUCCAACAAACAAUUUAUUAUACAAAUAUCUGAAAUAUAAAUGAAUAAAUAAAUAAAUAAAUAAAUAAAUAAAAUAAUAAAUAACAAUAGACUAAGAUUCUAAAUAAAGGAUGACAAAUAAACAUGGUCUUCUUUUAUUCUAAACGUCUUGUGAUCUUCAACCAAUAUGCCUUCAAUAUAAUUACCGGGGGUAAGCGCUAUAGCCUGUUUCCAAUACUUAGCAGCUUGAUCGAACCUAGCCUCUGCACUUUCAGAAUCUCCUGUUGAAUGGCCAGGGAGCCAGAUUCAAUGUUUUUCUACUUUGUUAAGCUGAUUUUCAUUGCUUGCAGCUAAAUGGCUACUCCAUGGAGAAAUUACACAGAUCAAUAUGUACAAUUAGCACAGACGAUCAGUUCCUUACCAGUACUGCCAAUGUCUUGUUUGUAGCUGCAAAGCUCUUCGUGUGUUGGUUCUCCUACUGCAUCAACAAGCUUAGAGCAUGUUGUUUCUCCUACAGUAUUGCCAGCUUUAUAACAUGUGGAAUCAACAAGAGUGCCUGAUGGACCAGUGGUGCUUUCUAAAGCAGGGUUUUCUGCUAUUUCAUCUUGUGAGGAAGCACCCUGCUAUAACUCAAGGUCCUCAGCUAUUCCAGUAUAUGUAUAUAUUAAUCUAGGUGCAACAAAUAUCAGCAACAAUCAUAUCAAUAUCGAAGGAGAAAUGAAAUUUUUCAUCAGCAUCACUGCAUUUCAUAUAGUUGCACCCAAUGCAAUACAGAUAUGAGCCUGUAGCUGAUUUCCUAUUUAUGCAAAGCUCGACCUGAAACAACAACUCUAUGUACCCUGAAUGGAGACUCACCGGAAAAUACGAUCCAAGAAAGAUGAGCAAAUGUGGCUCAGCUCUGUGUCGUUAAAACUACCAUAAAAUUUAGGCUAGCCUCAGAACUAUAGAUGUGUUCAAAGGUGAAAUAUACAUGCUGGAGUGUGACUCAGAAAUAAAACAUGUGUCUUGCUUCUUCUUUGGUUUGUUGUACUAACCAAUAAUAAAAGGCAGAAGCAAAUCUUUGAAUUGACUUAUGGAACAUAAGAUGCCAAACCUAUGAACUGACUUAUGGAACAUAAGAUGCAUACAGAGAGCAAGGGGAGAAAUAGGAGUCUUUUAAGGUUCAAAUUUACGGCAAAAAGAAAAGUUAUUUCUUAUUGGGCUUGCUUCAGAAGUAGCUUUGAUUGUUAAUAGCUUAGGGCUUGUUUGGUGUGAGGGAUAAGGGAUAAUAAUCCCCAGAUAAGAUAUAGUAUUAAUUUAUCCUCUGUUUAGUUAGAAGUUUUAGCUAGUCCCACCAGAAUUAUUUAUCCCAUCAUUUACAGUGUAAAUGAUGGGAUAAGUUAUCCCACCAUAUAUGGGAUAACUUAUCCCUUGGGAUAUCCCACCCAAUCCAUGGGAUAAUUUUGUUUAUCCCAUCCCCCAACCAAGCGACCCCUUAGAGUUUUAGAACCAGGUAAGUGUUUUGAAGGAAGCUGGGAGGAAAGAUGCUUCCUUUAUUUCUGAGAGACCAAGUGUGAUGAGCUGAUCAACUCCAAGUCUCCAACUAAAGAGAAAGCACUUGGAGUAAAGCAGGAAGAUAAGCAUAACAAGAGAAUAAAGAAGUGACUGCACCAUCUAGCAUGCUCAAAACAACAGCAAAGGUUAUGCCUCAGUCAAGUUUGGAUUGGCUAUAUGAAUCCUCACAGUCAUGAUGCUUCAUUUAAGUCUGUCUCAGUCCAAUAUCUGUCUAGCAUACUAUCAAUUAACAAAAACAUCCAAACAUGAAUAAACAGCACGUUGAUGAACGGAAUAAAGGACAUGGAUUUUCUACUAACAAGUUCUACAAAGCAAGCCUUCCAUCUUCUCAUUCAAACUGGAGGAAAGCAGGGUAGGAAACAUGAUAACCUCUCUCUGCACUGUCCCCGAGUAAGUACUGUUUCAAGUCUGCCAAGAACAAAACAUGCCCUGAAGCAGCUUUAUAAGGUCACUAAUACGACAUCAACCACAAAAUGCUAGAUUUGCACCUCAUUCGGAUUUAAGCUCUACAGAGCGUAGAAUUUCCUGCCUUUGGGAUGUGCUAAUCAACCUCUGCACUAGGAAACUACAGGCUUUGCGAAACCAUAAGAUUCAGUCUUGGACUUCAGGAAAGAUUGUGGUGAGAUGUACUUAUUCCCAAUACGCAUUCAUUAUUAGUGCAGACCCGCAGGAUAUGUGAAUCAACAAUGCUAAAAGCAGUUCUAAGUAUCUAUUAUUUGCGCCAAAGAAAAUCAUUCCCACACAAAUUCUCAUGUAUCAAAUUCCAAAAAUUUAUAAAUGAUCGUGCGGAUGCUCAUACUACUACAUGUAAAUAAUCGAUUAGAGCAGCCUAAGUUAGCAUUAAGAUCCACUUAUAUUGAUUUCAAUAAGAUGCUUUACAUAUCUUUUAACAGAUUUAAGGAACCAUUUUCUCUAACAGCAAAGGAGAACAUUUGAUGGACUAAUGACUAUCACAGGUUAUAGUGAAGACGGGGAUAAUGCAUGAAAGGAACAAGCAACCAAACAACAGCAAUGUAGAAGAAUGGCCAGCGAAUUCCGGAUGACAUAAAGACAAUUAUUCAUCAAUAAACUCAGAUGACACAAGUAUAUGCCUGCAGGAAGCUUUGUUUUCCUGCAAUAAACACAAGAUCAUCUUUUCCAUUUUUUAAAAGAAAUACUGUAAUGUGACUGCAUUGAAUGAACGGAUUUAGAUAAAACUGAAUAGACAAAUUUGUACCCAUUAAUGAUAAAACAGUAUGAAUACAUCAUCAAUUGAUAUAGGUGCAAAGUGAACUUUCAUGUCCUUACACUAUGACUUCACAUGAACAUUGUUAAAAGGCUACUGGCUCGUGCUUCUUAAUCCAUGUAAAAUUCACAGCAAACUGAAAAUCAUAGAUUACCUUCGAGGAAGGAAGAGCUGUAGGGUGAUGAUCAACAGGGACAGGGAGAUGAUUAACUGGGCAUAGUGAAGCAGUUGGAGGUGGAGUAGAAAUAUGAAAGUUACUCUCUGAUUGCACCUGACUCCCAGAACACAAUUUCAGAUAAUUAACUGGGUAGCGGGAAGAAGUUGGAGGUCGAUCAAAACCAUCAAAGUAACUCCCGGGUUGCACUUGAUUCCUGGAAUUCCCACCAUCACGGCAAAUAGCAUUACUCAUCUCCUUCUGGGUAGGGAUUUCGUCUUCUGCUACGUCUUUCGAGGUAUUUCCAUCUCCUUCAACUGGAGGACGACAAAAUACUUCUGCACAACGGGGUUGUUAGUGAAAUUUUAGUAACAUGGACCUCAAAGUCCUAUAGGCACCUCUUACUGUUUCAUGAAUAAAAGAAGCAAGAUAUUUCAAGUUUCAGCACGAGUAAACUAUUGCAAGAAAAAACUGCAGUUGAACAAUAUUAUAUCUUCCCUAACCUGUUAACAACAAUGACGACAUAACCAAUGUAAUCCCACAAGUGGGGUCCGGAGAGGAUAAAGAAUACGCAGAUCUUAUCCCUACCUUGGAAGGUAGAGAGACUGUUUCCGAUAAACCCUCAGCUCACGUAAAACAGUUCGGUAAAAAAAAAUACAGAAGUGAAGAGGCCACAACAAAAAUACUAAAGAUAGCAUGACAAAACAUGCCGGGGGUUUAUCGGAAACAGCCUUGCUACUUCUCCGGAGGUAGUGGUAUGGACUGAGCACAUCUUACCCUCCCCAGACCUCACUAUGUGGGAAUACACUGGGUUUUUUGUUGUAGUUGUUGUAGCAUGACAAAACAUACUGAAAAAAGAACAGUAACUAAGACAAAAUAAUACUACAAUUGAAGUAUAAGAAAUAGAUAGUAACAAAAAUCAAAGACCAAGAAACUACUACGACGACUAGAACUACUAGUAUGGAACAGUAAGUGAGACAACUAUCAACUAUCUACUAGCCCUCUAUCCUAAUCCGUGUCCUCCAUAGCCUCCUACCUAAGGUCAUCUCCUCAGUAAGCUGAAGUUGUCAUGUCCUGACUAAUCAUCUCUUCUCGAUACUUCUUCAGUCUACCUCUAAGCCUACCUCUACUUUCCCUAAAAUCAUCCAUAGUCAACCUCUCAUACCUCCGCAUUGGGGCAUCCAUGCAUCUCCUUUCCACAUGCCCGAACCACAUCAACCUCACUCCCUGCAUCUUAUCUUCCAUUGAGGUCACUCCUACUUUCUCCAAAUAUAUUCAUUUCUACUCCUCUCUCUCCUAGCAGCCCACACAUCCAUCUCAACAUCCUCAUUUCCACAACUUUCAUCUUCUGAACGUGAGAAUUCUUGAUUGGACAACAUUCAACCCCAUACAACAAAGUUGGUUUAACCAUCACUCUUUAAAACUUGCCUUCAAGUUUUAGCGGCACCUUCUUAUCACACAAAACUCCCGAUGUGAGCUUCCAUUGGUGUGUGACAUCAUCAUCAAUCUCCCCACUACCUUAAAUAAUAGAUUCAAGGGAGUUGAAACUUCCUCUUUUUUGGAUGUGGCUAUGAAGCCUCGCUUCCCAAUCUCAUGUGUUUCAUCACUGAGCUUGCUCUCCAAGUAUUUUAAUCUUCCCUAAUAAGUUGGUAUACUAAAUUAGUUUAUCCAACUUGGAUGCGUAGCCAAAUGUUUUGCUACAUUGUUAAACUGAUUCCAUUGCUUGGCAGCUAAAUUGCUACUCCAGAGACAGAAAUUUAGAAAAAUCAAGAAGCAGAAUUAGAACAUACUAACAGCUCCUUACCAGGACUGCUAAUGUCUUGUUUGUUUCUGCAAAGCUCUACAUGCAUUGGUGCUACUGCAUUGACAAGCUCAGAGCAUGAUGUUUCUCCUACAGUAUUAGCAGCUUCGUUGCAUAUGGAACAAACAAGAGAGCCUGAGGGACCAAGGAUGCUUUGUAAAGCAGGAUCGUUUGCUCUUUCAUCUUGUGAGGAGACGCCCUGCUAAAAUUCAAGGUCUUCAGUUAAUCCAUCAUAUGCAUAUAAAACUCUAGGGUAUCAAAGUAACAAUCACAUCAAGCUUGAAGAAGAGGUGAAAACUUUGCAUCAUCGAUCAUUUCAUGUAAUGGGCACUAAAUGCAAUACACAGAAUACCCCGUAUAGCUGAUUCCCUAUACAUACAAGCUUACCCGGAACAUUUUGAUAUACCCUGAACAAGAUUCACAAAAAAAUAUCUGAUCCAAGGAAGAUAAGAAAAUGGGGCUCAGCUGUGUAGUUACCAAACAGUUUAUAGGUUAGCAAUUGCAGAACUAUAUAUUUUUUCAAAAGUGAUACAGAUCCUGGAUUUUUGACUCAAAAAAAUAAAACACACAUCUUGUUUAUCUUUAUUUUGUAGUGCUAACAAAUAAUAAAAGGCAGAAGUCAAUCUAUGAAUUAAUUUAGAUACGUACAAAGGGCAAUGAUGGAAGUAGAAGCUUUUUAUGGUUUGCAGUUACAGCAAAAAGAAAAUUUCCUAUUGGGCUUAAUUCAGAAGCAGCCUGUACUGUUAAUAGCCGACAGUCUCAAGACAAGGUUCUGAUUUUGGACAAAGCUACGAACAAAAGAUGCUUCCUUUAGUUCUGAGAGACCAAGGUAAGUGAGAUGGGCCGGAUGAAUUUCACUAAGAGAAAACACUGAGGAGUAUUAGAAUGAGAGCAUAUAAAUAUGACAAGAGAAGAAUCAAAACCAAACGGAUCAGCAAAUGCAUUUUGGUCAUACUUUAGAUGCUGUUGUGAAAAGAAUUGAAUAUCCAACACAAAUAAGGCAAUGGGCGGAGUAGUCAGGACAUUAUAAACACCUUUGGAAACCCUUACACAACUAAUGAGGGAAAAGUGCAUUCUCUAAUACCCUCUUGCAUGUGUAAUCUGGUAUUUGGGCUUAAGCGUGGAUUAAAUAUUUGUCUCUUGGUUUUUUUGAAGAAGUUGAAGAGUGUUACAAGAGAGAGAUCAAGCUAAACACGCCGAAGAGGGCGAACCCCCUUCUUUUGUCCCACACACUUCGACUUCUCUUCCUUUAUCUAAAUAUCCAACUGGAGAGUGCAUCCUCCAGUGCUAUAUCUCCUACUAAGACAGAAAAUGUUCCUCUCCCUUAAUGGAGUAUAAGAAUUUUAACAAGUUGGCAAUGGGAAGGAAAUCUUUCUUUAUUUCUGGGGACAAAUCAUUCGAAUUGUUUGAAGAACGCGAUGGCUCGUUUGUUUGGGUUGAGCGAGGACGGAGGUUUUGCAGCCAGAUUAAGCUUGAUGAGGAGAACUUAAGAUGGGUUUGCGAGCAAAUACAACAUGCGGCGUGUGGAUACGGGAAUCUUUACAGGAGGUGGGGAAGGAAGAUUCAGAAUUAUCUUUACAGGGUGUAUCAAAAUUUUAAUAGUUAUGGAAGAUACAUAAGAAUCGAAACAAGGAACGGGGAAGGGAAAUCAGCAAUAAUAAUACCAGAAGUAGGUUACAACAAGGGUUGGGGAGACAUAGCAGGGAAGAUACUUCAUUCUCUGGGAGAAGCAUCCAAUUACAAGUACAGGAAAUUCACAGAUCUGCAAAAGAAAUCUUUUCUCAAUGCUGCUGAAAUUACUCAUUGGCCUAAUCUUCAGGGAGGAAAAACUAAAAAAGUCACCAGUGAAACCACUGAUGAAAACUUCCUCUUUCUCUCAAAAUGCUUAGUCGGAUGUUUCCAUGAUCUUUCCACCAGAGCCCCAAUACUGAUAUUAUUCAAAAAUGGUUUACUUCUAGAUGGCAAGUGACAGCAAGUCUGAGGAUAACUCCCAUAGCACACAAUAAAUUUCUGUUCGAGUUCCCUUCAAAACAAGAGGCUGCUAGGGUGAAAGCAGGUGAUUAGUUUUGGAAUGGUCGUCAUCUUCACCUAGAAUGGUGGUCACCGGAAUUCAAGACUUCGCCGGUGGGGCACGGAGCAGACCAGAGAUGGGUUAAAGUGUUUGGUAUCCCUCUUCACGGAUGGAACAUGAACACUUUUCGAUAUAUCGGAGACCUAUGUGGUGGAUUUAUUGGCAUAGAUGAGGAUACAAAGAGUAGAGUGCAUUUGUUUUGGGCUUGAAUAUGCGUUAAAGCCUCUGCCACUGAAAUCCCAAGUGCAGCCGUUCUAGUGCUGGGUGAUUUGAGAUUUGGAAUCUCUAUCUUGGAGGACAAAUUAGUGGAUUCGAAGGUCGCCGGGAAUGGAGGACCAGUUGCCAGUGGUGGAGCAACAGUUGUUCCUGUGGCGGAGCGAGAUAUGGGAUUGGACAAGGCAUCCUCGAGCCAAGCGAAGGAUCUGUCGCAAUACCCACGGGUCUAUAGAAAAGAAUACAGGGGUCCAAAGAACUUUAAUUCAAAUAAGUGUCCAGUGGACCCUAGUAUUAAAAGAAAGCAGUUGUCUCAAAACCCUAAUCCCAGAUAUAACAAAGUGGCAGCUAAACAAUUGGGCCAAAAGCUAGACCACUCAUAUUAUUCAAAAGGGCAAAAGCCCAAAACAUCUACCAGAAAGAAAAUGAAGGAAUGGCUAGCAAAAAGAAGGAAAAUGAAGGAAUGGCUAGCAAAAAGACCUUAUUUUGACCCACUCACCGAAGAAAUAAAGAACACGCAAAAGAUGGGAAAAUUGAGCUGACACCUUCGAGGGUGGCAAGCGACUUAUCAUCUCAACUUGAUAAUGAAGCAGAUGACGAAGUGGAGCCGAUGGCCAUGAUAAUUCCAAUACCUAUGCAGCCAAGCGAUUUUGUAACAGUAAACAGUUCUGACGCUGAAUAUUCUUUCGGUGAUAAUCCUCUCUUUCCUUGGUUUGAAGCGACAUGUUUCUACUCAAGUCACUCACUCCCCUGAUGUAAUUGAUACUUCAAGAUGGACUAAAACUGUGAUGUUUAAGGCAUGCAAAGCCUUCGGGAUUAAUGCAGUGGGAUUUGAACAUGAAAUUCUCGACAUGGUUCUCCGAAUGGAGCAAAAGAGGCAAUCGCAAAUUGAGCAGCGAAAGCCUUCCUCCAACACCAGAACAACAACAACAACAACAACAAACCCAGUGUAUUCCCACAGAGUGGGGUCCGAGGAGGGUAAGAUGUACGCAGUCCAUACCGCUACCUCCGAAGAAGUAGAGAGGUUGUUUCCUCCAACACCAGAAACAAGGGGAAAAACAAGCAAUCUUCAGAGCUUGAAAGGUUGAGUUGGGGUAUGAAUUCAGAGGGUAGAAAGUCAAGAGAUCGGGACAGGACCUACAAAGCCUUCUCCGAAUGAAGAUUAAAAUAUUAAGUUGGAAUGUGCGAGGGCUGAACGAGGCCAAUAAGAGAACUACAAUCAAAUCUCUCAUACAUAAAUGAAAAGCAGAUACAUUGUGUCUACAAGAAACAAAAGUGGCAGAAUAGACUCCAUUUCAUAUUAGACUAGUCUGGGGGAACCGUUGGGUAGAAUGGGCGGAGCUAAAGCCAAAUGAAAGAAGUGGCGGCAUUAUUGUACUAUGGGACAAAAGAUUCUGGUCUAAAAUGGAUGUGCAACUUGGGGCAUAUACCAUCUCUUGUAUACUUGUAUACUGGAAAGCUCUCACAACCUCUUCAGGAGGUGGUGCUUCACAGGGGUUUAUGGACCCCACUCAAACCUUGAGAGGGAAGAACUGUGGCAUGAAUUGGCAGCCAUCAAAGGUCUUUGGGACGACCAGUGGGUGAUAGAAGGUGAUUUCAAUGUUUGUGUAAGAAAUAUAAGAGAAAAAUAUUAUUGAAUUGUUGUAACUACAUUAUUACAUUAAGCCUAUUUAUAGACAAUACAUUCCAAUCCUUUUCCUAAUGGGACACUACAUUACAAUCCUUUUCCAAGUAGGAUUUUAUAUGUUAUUCCUAUUCCUACUCAUAUUCUAACACUCCCCUUCAAGCUGGUGAAUAGAAGACAUAUGUACCAAGCUUGUUAUGGAUGUAACUAAUAUGAGAAUCGGUGAGGGACUUGGUGAAGAUAUUUGCAAGAAAACUGAUAAGGACUGCUUUGGACGUCUGGGAGACCUUAAUUGAAACGGAACAAACUAAAAAAAUGAUCCGAAAAGUAGUAAAUAUUGCCGUAAAGUCGAUGAGUCGCUGGAAAAUUGCCGAAAACUGGUAUAAAAUACACGGGUCAUCUCGAAAUCAAGAGACGAGUAGAUCUUGAACGUGAAAGUCACCGGAAACUUAGCCGAAACAUGCUCACACGCCGGAUUAUUAGAUUUGAUGGUUGAAAAGUGACUACAAUCUGAGGAAAAAAAAGUAUAUGGGUAGGGUCGAAAUGAUGACAUGACCCUACUGAAAAAAAGAAAUGUGUAGGGUCGGAAUGAUGGCACGACCCUAUUGAGAAAUAGAAAUUAUAUGCGUAGGGUCGGAAUGACGGCACGAUCCUACUGGAAAAGAGAAAUUAUAUAGGCAGGGUCGGAAUGAUGGCACGACCUUACUGAAAAACGUACGGAACUAUGUAUAUUAAAUCUAAAAAGUCACCCGAAAAUGCAUGGUGCUAUGCAACUCAAAUAUGAGAUAGGACUCAUCCAGUCGAAGUAACUAAGAACUUCGGAUUGAAGUAAUAAGAUUAUUGAAUCAUCAGAACUACUUCGAUAUAUCUUUUUGACUUUUUAGCCACAGAGUCUUUGUGAACCAAAAGAUGCACGGUGCUACGCAAAUCAGAUAUGAGAAAAUAGUCAUCGAAAAAAAGUACGGUGCUAAGAAAAAUAGAUAUGAAAAAGUAGUCACCGGACAGAUGCAUGGUGCUACGCAAAGAUAUGAGAAAAUAGUCACUAGAAAGAUACACAGUGAGUCAGUGACCCAACUUUUGCUAACAUAAUCAUUGGCCAGACGGACGGCAUAUAUGGAUUAUGGCCGCCCGCCGGCAGCAGAAACUCUUUUAUUCUUUACCAAAAUCGUGGAAUCUUUGAUACCAUGUGAGAAAUAUUAUUGAAUUGUUGUAACUACAUUAUUAUAUUGAGGCCCUAUUUAUAGACAAUACAUUCCAAUCCUUUUCCUAACAUGACACUACAUUACAAUCCUUUUCCAAGUAGGAUUUUAUAUGUUAUUCCUAUUCCUACUCAUAUUCUAACAGUUUGAAUGUAUGAACGUGAAAGAUACAACUGCAUCCGGAGAUCAAGGGCCAUGAAAUCUUUCACAGACACCAUUCAAGACCUGGGCAUCAUUGAUCUCCCAUUACAGGGGGCUCAUUAUACAUGGUUCAAAGGGGGUGACUCAAUGCAAACUUCUAGAAUCGACAGAUUCCUAACCUCCACAGAAUGGGAUGCAAAUUUCAAUGCUAUCAAACAAUUAGCUCUACCAAGAAUAGUAUCCACAUUGGGAAGCUAACCCUCUUACUUUAAAUUUGAAAACAUGUGGCUUCAAGUGGAGGGUUUCAUAGAGAAGGUAAAAGGUUGGUGGCAAAGUUACACUAUCGAGGGCAAUCCAGAAUUUAUUCUUCUGUAGAAGCUAAGAAGAUUAAACAAAGACAUCACAGAUUAGACCAGGGAAACUUUUGGUAAAUUGGAAGCACAAAAAAAAAAGCUACUUGAUAAACUAGCUUUACUUGAUCAAGCAGCUGAAAACAAACAUUUGUCCCAGCCCGAGAAAGAGAAAUGUUUGUAUUUGAGAUAUGAACUGGAAAAAAUGGCCAAAGCUGAGGAGAUCUCCAAGGAGGCAAAAAUCUAAAUGUUUAUGGCUCAAAGAAGGCAAUAGAAACACCAAAUUCUUCCAAAGAAUGGCUAAUUCAAAUAGAAGAAAUAAUUUCGUAGAUAGGUUAUUGAUUGGAGAGGAGAUUAUUGAGGACAAUGAGGAGAUCAAAUCAGAAAUUCUAAGGUUUUACUAGGACCUUUACAAAGAGGAGGGGCAAAGAAAACCUAGUGCAAAAUUUGAAAAUUUGGCCACCAUCACUACAACUGAGAAAGAGUGGCUGGAAAGAGCUUUUGAGGAAGAAGAAGUGCUCGCUGCAAUAAACUUAUGUGCCCCCGAUAAAAGCCCAGGCCCGGACGGCUACACAAUGGCUUUUUAUCAAAAGACUUGGGCUUUCACUAAAGCAGAAAUCAAGGAUGCUCUUAAUCACUUUCACCAGCUUUGCUACAUGGUCAAAUCUAGUAAUGCCUCCUUUAUUGCUCUAGUCCCUAAGAAGAAAAAAGUUGUAGAACUUAGAGAUUUCAGGCCUAUAAGUCUCAUUGGCAGUGUCUACAAAAUAGUAGCCAAGCUCCUGACGAAAAGGAUUAAAUCUGUAAUUGGAAAGUUGGUCUCAGGAGAGAAAAAUGCUUUCCUUAAAGAUAGACAAAUUACAGAUGCAACACUGGUGGCCAAUGAAUUGCUUGACGAAAGACUAAAAAAUGGUAUUCUUGGUAUAAUUUACAAGCUUGAUGUUGAGAAAGCUUUUGAUUUAGUUAGUUAGGCCUAUCUACUGUCUAUGCUACAGGAAAUGGGGUUCGGAGAUAGAUGGAUCAGAUGGAUCAAAUUCAGCCUCACCACUGUGAAAUAUUCUAUUCUUGUUAACAGAUCCCCAAUUGGCUUUUUCUCACCACAAAAAGGGAUUAGACAAGGCGAUCCCUUGUCCCCUUUUCUAUUUAUUCUAGCCAUGGAAGGCCCAAUCAAGAUGCUUGAAAAAGAAAGACAAUUAGUGUGGAUAGAAGGGUUUAGAGCAGGCAUCAAUGAUGACAACUCAGUUUCAGUCUCACAUCUACUCUACGCUGAUGAUAACCUUGUUUUUUGUGGGGUCGAGAAACUACAAAUGCAAUAUCUUAACCUCACAUUGCUUCUCUUUGAAGCAAUCUCAGAUCUACAUAUCAAUAUGUCAAAAAGUGUUAUCUUCCCUAUUAAUGAGGUGGCGAACAUAGAUGAAUUAGCUGAAAUUAUGGGUUGUGGUAUAGGCUCCUUCCCUACUACCUAUUUAGGUUUACCUCUGGGAGCAAAAUACAAGGCUGCUGAAGUAUGGAAUGGAGUGAUAGAAAAGGUCGAGAAGAAAUUAGCUUUCUGGCAGAUGCAGUAUCUCUCCAUGGGUGGUAGGUUGGUUUUAAUAAAUAGUGUCUACCUACAUCAUGUCCCUCUUUCCUAUGCCAUCUAAGGCUCCAUUUGUAUUUUCUAAGAUUCAGACGUCUGAAUCUGAAUGCACAUUUGAAUGAUUAAAAUGGUGUCUUUAGAUCUGAAAACUGAAUGAUUAAGACUGUUUGUUUUUCAUUAUCUGAAUAUGUAAAAAAAAAUACUUGUAUGCAUAAUAAAAUAAAAAAUAAAAUUCAAAUAGAAAAUAAAUUAUAUAUUAAAAAGGUAUGUAAUUUAAUACUCCCUCUGUUUCAAAAAGAAUGACCUACUUUGACUUGUCACAAAGUUUAAGAAAAUAAAGUAGAUUUUUGAAUCUUGUGGCCUUAAAUUAAAGUUGUGUCAAAUGUACCAAAAUGCCCUUUAAUCUUGUGGUCCUAAACAUGCUAUGUGGAAAGUUGAAAUUAAAGUAUUUCCAAAAAAGGAAAGGGGUCAUUUUUUAUAAACGGACUCAAAAAAAAAGUAGGUCAUUCUUUUUUAAACGGAGGAAGUACAAUAAAAUUAUUAGUAUUUAAUUGAGAAAAAACAUUUAUGUUUAUUAGUGAUAGUGAAGAUGGCUUAUAAUGGUGGUUGCAGUGAGAAUGAUUGAUGUUAGUGAUUAAUAUUGUUGGCGGUGAUCACUGUGAUGGUUGGCAUUGUAGUGAUUGUUACGAUGGUGGCGAUUGAUGGUGGUGGUGGUUGUUGUGAUGUGACGUUGCUUGAUGUUAGUAGUUUAAGGUGUUGAUUGCGUUGGCUGAAACAUGAAUGCAUGAUGAUUGACGAUGUGUUGGUGCUAGUUGGAGAUGUUAUUUGUUGUGAUGGUGAAAAUGGUUGUUAGUAGAGAUAAAUUGUAGCAAUUGUACUGGUUGAAGUAGUGGUAGAGGUGGCAUUACUAGUGACAAUAGUGGGGGCAGCCAAAGAAUGUGUAGAGGUUGUGAUGUAUUAGUGGUAGUUAGUGAUGGUACUAGUUGUGAUAGAUGAGUUGGUUGGUAGUAGGGAUUGGCCGCUAGUGGUUGCUGAUUGUGGUGUUGUUGACGGCAGUAGUGGUGGUGAAUAUAAUUAGAAUAUAAAGGUAGUAGGUGUGGUAGCGGUUGACAAUUGUGGUUGGUAGCGAUAUUUUUUGUCAAUGGUGGUUGUGAUGGUGGAGGUGGUAGGUGGUAAUUGACAAGGGAGACGGUGACAGAGGUGGUUAGUGGUGGUAACUGCUGAUUAUGAAUAGAGUGGUGAAUAUUAUCCAACACCAGAAUAUCCAUUCAGACCUAUUAAGACUUUGUUCUAGAUUUGAAUGAUUAAAACCUAUUCAGACCUAUUCAGAGUUAAAACCUUAAAAAAAAACAAAUGCACUUAAUGGUCUGAAGUCUGAACCAUUCAGAUUCAGACCUCCAUUAAAUGCAAACAAUUGAGGCCUAAGGUCCUGAAGCAUCUUGAUAAAGCAAGGAGAACAUUCCUAUGGAAAGGCAACUAUGAAGGGCAUAAGUUUCAUUUGGUGGACUGGUCAGAGGUUAUCAAACCAAAAAACCUGGGGGGUUUGGGAAUCAAAAACUUAUCGAAACACAAUAGUAGCUUGCUUAUGAAAUGGUGGUGGAGAUACAGUCAAGAAACUACUAGUCUUUGGAAAAGGGUGGUGACCGCCAAGUAUGGGAAACAAAAUCACUGGAGCACCAGCACAUGCAUGGCUCCCCAUGGUGUUGGACCUUGGAAACACUUAAGCAAGCUCAGAGAUGAUUUUUUCGUUGAUGUCUUGUUUGUUGUUGGGAACAAAAAUUUAGUGAGUUUUUGGAAUGACAAAUGGCUUCUCGACCAACCCUUGAAGAUCUCUCACUCAAACCUCUAUCGACUAGCUGUGAAUCCCAACUCCACAGUGGCACAAAAUAGAGCUGGAACCUCAUGGAACCUCUUCCUUAGAAGAAAUUUGCAAGAUUGGGAACUAGAGGAGAUCUUUGAUCUUUACAGAAUUUUAGAAGAUUGCACAAUAAAUCCCUGGGCCAGUGACAAGCUAAGAUGAGGCAGUUCAAGUAAGGGGUCUUACACAGUCAAGGCAGGUUAUAGUAAACUGUGUGCUCAAAAUGAAGUGACUGAACACUAACCUUGGAAGCUGAUUUGGAGAACUAAACUCCCCAAUAAAAUCAUAUGUUUUACAUGGAGGCACUCCUAACUCAAGACAACCUUUGCAGAAGAAAGUUUCAACUAGCAAACAGGUGUUUUAUGUGCCAACAUAGCUCAAAAACAGUCAACCAUUUACUUUUGCAUUGCUCAGUUGCAUCUGAUUUGUGGAACAUGUUCUUAUCAAUUUCUAGGGUUAGUUGGGUAGUGCCACGGAAUGUUAAGGACACUAUGGAAAGCUGGAGCCUUUGGGUAGUUGACAGAGCCAUCAAGAAGAUCUGGCAAAUGAUACCAGCAUGCAUUGUUUGGAGUAUCUGGAUGGAAAGAAAUCGUAGAUGUUUUGAUGGGAUUUCAACUCCUAACACUGCUCUGAAGUCCAACUGUUUGAUGUUUCUUUUUAGCUGGAGCAAUUUAACCCCUGUAAACAAUGUUAUUCCUCUUGUAGAUUUCAUUAGUUCCUUGUCUUUGGCUAACAGCCAUACUUUUUGCACAGUUAGGGAAAUGACUCAAUGUUAUAUCUGUAGGUUUUUGCAUCUAGGAGCCUUCCCUAAUUUUCUUUGUACUGUUUUCAGCAUCUUCUUAAUGCCAGUCAAUAUAACAAUUACUUCAUCAAAAAAAAAGAGUUGACUGCAUCAUGUAGCAUGAUUUAACCAAUUAAGAAUAACAGACAGACCGAAUAAAGAGCAUGUCAUUGAAAAACAUAAAGGACAAGAAUUUAUCCCAACAGGUUAUACAAAGCAAGCUUUCCAUUUUCUCAUUCUUUCCUUAAGAAAUCAAGAUAGUAACCACCCUAACCUCUCUCUGCACCGCCCGAAGAUUCAAAAAAGUAAGUAUUGUUUCAACCCAACCAAGCACAAGGCAUGCCCAGAAGCAACUCUAUGAUGAGAUUAAUAUCACCUCCAUAAUGAAGCGUUAGAUUUUCGCCUCACAUGGAUAUAGCCUAAAGGUCUGCAUAUUAUAAACGUUCCUACUUUUGGAAUGUGCCAACCAGCCUCUGCAAGCAAUGCAGAAGAGGAAACGAAAAGCUUUGGAAAACCAUGAUUUUCAGUCUUGGACUUGAUGAAGGAUUGUGAUGAGAUAUGUUUUAAUCAGAGAUACACAUUCAUUAUUAGUGCAGUUUGUAGGAUAUGUGAAUCAACACUGCUAAAAGCAGUUCUAAGUGUUACUUGUUUGUGCCACAGAAGAGAUUUCUGAACAAACACUAUACUAUCAAGUUCUAAAGAAAUUUUUAAAUUUUUGUGUGGUGCCCAUAGCCUCAUAGUGAUCAAUUAGGCAGUCUAAGUUAGCAAAAGUGUUGUCAAAAGCAAAAACAGCAAAAUGGCUCUCAGGUUUGUAGGAGCUUUAAGCGCAAAUAAAGUGUGGGCUUCAAUUUAAAAAGAAGGCGGAAAGGGAGAAAAAAAUAUAAAUAUAGGUAUAGUGCAAGAUAAAUAAUUAUAAACAAUAACAACAACAACAAACCUAGUGUAUUCCCACAAAGUGGGGUCUGGGGAGGGUAAAAUGUACGCAGUCCAUACCGCUACCUCCAAAGAAGUAGAGAGGAUGUUCCGAUAGACCCCCGGCUCAAGAUAGAGAAUAGUAAACAAAAGCGUAAUGAAACAUGAAGCAUGAUGAAUGGCACAACAUAAAAAGAGAUAAGACAUAAUAAAAUAGAAAUCAGAACAAUACGAGAUAAGAUAAAUAAGCGCAAUAUGAAAUAAGAGAUAAGAAAAGGACAUCAGGAAUACGACCCCCACCUAGUAGUAACAUACACUCACAGACCAGAGACACCCGCCACACCCAAAUCCUCCUGACCAGGGGCUCCUACAUAUGGACAUAGUCCUAGGAUUACUAACCCGGCUAUACAUGAGCUCUUGUAACUACUUGCUACAACCCACGCACACAUCCUACCCGUCUACCCUUAUUCGUGACCUCCACACCUUCCUAUCUAGGGUCAUGUCCUCAGUAAGCUGAAGCUGCUCCACGGCAUGUCUAAUCACUUUCCUCCAAUACUUCUUCGGCCUACCUCUCCUCCUCCUGAAGCCAUCCAACGCAAGCCUCUCACAUCUACGAACUGGGGCAUCCAUGCCCCUCCUCAUCACAUACAUGCCCAAACCAUCUCAACCUUCCUUCCCGCAUCUUGUCCUCCACCGAAACCACUCUCACCUUCUCCCGGACAAUCUCAUUCCUAACUCUAUCCCCUCUAGUAAGUCCACACAUCCAACGCAACAUUCUCAUUUCCGCCACCUUCAUCUUUUGAAUGCGGGAGUUCUUGAGUGGUCAACACUCUGCUCCAUAUAGCAUGGCUGGACGGACUGCCACUCUGUAGAAUUUGCCUUUAAGCUUAAGUGGUACCUUCUUAUCACACAACACUCCCGAGGCGAGCCUCCACUUUAUUCAACCUGCUCCAAUACGGUUAGAGCAAGGGAAAGUGAACGACAAAUAUACGAAUAAAGAAAUUGAAAAAAAUUACGAUAAAGUGGAAUAUCAAUUGUUUAGUAUCGCCUCUUCAUGAAAGGCUCAUUAGCAAGGGAAAGUAUGCUUUAGAACCUUGAUGACGACACUGAAGCGCACAUAAAGCGAAGGGAAGCGCACAACACGUUUUGAACCUCGCUUCGGGACUUAAGCGCACCUUUAACAACACUGAUAUAUAGUAAGACCCAAAGGCGUAUUCAUGAUUUUAAGACAAUGGAUGCACUAUUACAACAACAACAACAACAACAAACCCAGUGUAUUCCCACCUAGUGGGGUCUGGGGGGGUAAGAUGUACGCAGUCCAUACCUCUACCUCUGAUGAAGUAGAAAAGCUGUUUCCGAUAGACCCCCGGCUCAAGGCACGAGAUACCACACAAACACAUAGUGCAGCACAGAAGCAGAUUACAUAACAUAAAUACGGCACCCAUAAGUAAUAUAAAGCAGAGGAAAGCAGGGGAAAGCACACAGAUUCGUAAUACAACAUGGAACACGGAACACCUAAUCCUCUGCCGUAAUUCGCGUCUUCCAGACCUUCCUAUCUAGGGUCAUGUCCUCGGUGAGCUGUAACUGUUCCAUGUCCCGCCUAAUCACCUCACCCCAGUACUUCUUCGGUCUACCCCUACCCCGUCUAAAACCAUCCAACGCUAGCCUCUCACACCUACGGACCGGGGCAUCCGUGCCCCUCCUCUUCACGUGUCCGAACCAUCUCAAUCGUGCUUCCCGCAUCUUACACUCCACUGAAGUCACACCAACCUUCUCCCGGAUAGUCUCAUUCCGAACUCUAUCCCCUCGGGUCAGUCCACACAUCCAGCGCAACAUCCGCAUUUCUGCCACCUUCAUUUUUUGGAUGUGGGAGUUCUUAACUGGCCAACACUCCGCUCCAUACAGCAAGGCCGGACGGACUACCACCCUAUAGAAUUUGCCUUUAAGCUUGGGCGGCACCUUCUUAUCACACAGCACCCCCGAUGCGAGUUUCCACUUCAUCCAUCCCGCCCCAAUACGGUGCGAGACAUCCUCGUCAAUCUCACCGUUACUCUGGAUCACGGACCCGAGAUACUUGAACUUAUCCCUCUUCCCUACCUCCUGUGCUUCUAGCCUCACUACUACCUCAUUCUCCCGCCUCACGUCAUUAAACUUACAUUCCACAUACUCUGUCUUGGUUCUGCUCACCCUGAACCCUUUAGACUCCAGAGUUUGCCUCCACAACUCUAAUUUGUCAUUCACACCCCCUCGAGUCUCAUCUAUCAGGACUACAUCGUCUGCAAAAAGCAUACACCACGGCACCUCCCCUUGGAUACGCCGCGUCAACACAUCCAUUACUAACGCAAACAAAAAGGGACUAAGAGUAGAUCCCUGGUGCAAUCCUGUCAGGACAGUGAAAUGCUCUGAGUCUCCUCCCGCCGUCCUCACCUGGGUUUUCGCUCCCUCAUACAUAUCCUUAAUUACUCUGAUAUAUGCCUGCGGUACUCCACUCACCUCCAAGCAUCUCCAAAGCACUUCCCUGGGGACUUUGUCGUACGCCUUUUCCAGGUCGAUGAACACCAUGUGCAGAUCCUUCUUCCUCUCCCUAUACUGCUCCACCAACCUCCGUACCAGGUGGAUUGCCUCCGUCGUCGAGCGGCCGGGCAUAAAUCCGAACUGGUUUUCCGAGAUAGACACUAUCCGUCUCAGCCUCACCUCGACCACUCUCUCCCAGAUCUUCAUAGAGUGACUCAGUAACUUAAUCCCCCUAUAGUUAUUGCAACACUGAAUGUCCCCCUUAUUCUUAUAGAGGGGGAUCAUGGUACUCCACCUCCACGCCUCGGGCAUCUUUGCCGUCCUGAAAAUUUCAUUGAACAAUGCAGUCAACCACCUUACACCAGCCUCUCCAACGAACUUCCAAAACUCCACCGGUAUCUCAUCCGGCCCCGUCGCCCUACCCCUUCGCAUCCUGCGGACUGCCUGUCUAACCUCUUCUACCUUAAAACGUCUACAAUAGCUAAAAUCCCGACACUCCCCUGAGUGCUCCAGUUCCCCUAACACAAUAGCUCUAUCCCCUUCGUCAUUCAAGAGCCUAUGAAAGUACGACUGCCAUCUCUUCUUGAUGUGGCCGUCCUCCACCAACACUCUACCGUCCUCCCCCUUAAUGCACCUCACCUGAUCGAGGUCACGACCCUUCCUCUCCCUAGCCUUAGCGAGUCUAAACAACUUUUUCUCCCCUCCUUUCCCCUGUAACCCUGCAUACAAGCUCUCAAAAGCGGCCGUCUUAGCAGCCGUGACUGCUGACUUCGCCUCCUUCCUCGCUAGCUUGUACUCUUUCCUGUACACCCGCUUCUCCUCUUCGUCCUUACUUUCCACCAACUUAGCAUACGCCCCUUUCUUGGUCCUCACUUUCUUCUCCACCUCUUCAUUCCACCACCAAUCCCCCCGAUGGUGCCCGGCCCGGCCCCUAGAACUGAAUUUAGGAUUUACAUUUGAUGGAUUCAACAUUUAGGUUCCUAGCAUGAACUCAUUAAAUAUUUGAAAUUUAUAUGUUCAAUAUAAA